UUUUUUUUUUUUUUUAUGUAUAGAAAUAAGGUAAGUUUAUUUAGGAGCUUUUAUUAAUUUAUUUUGUUUAUAGAAACAAAGUGAGUUGUAUUUAAGAGUUUUUAUUUAUUUAUUUUAUGUAUAAAAAUAAGGUAAUUUGUAUUUGGGAGUGUUGGGUUAUUUUUGAGAAUUUUAUAAGGUCUAAGAAGUUUAAUAGAUAUAUAAGCUAGAUUUAAAAAAUUAUUUCAAACCCAUUAAUUUAAACAAAUUUUGUCACAUUUUAAAAUUAGUUCAAACCAUGAGAUAGCAGAAUGUAUGUUUUGAAACUCCGGGGGAGCUUUUUUAUAGGUUUGCUUAACUGCAGGGCAUUCCUGUAUUUUAACCAAAAAUAAUUGUUCAGUGGCUGCUGGAGUUUUUAGCUUACAAGUAUGGCUUCUAUACUAACUCCUCGAUGUUUCUCACACAGACUCUCUCCUUCUUUUCCCCGCUUCCAUCUUCCGCCAUCAUCCCAUCCUUCUCGGCGCUGUCCGUCUCUCAUCAGAAUGGAGGCAUCCUCCAACGGUGCUUCUGAUGCCAAGGAGACCGCCGCUCCGGCGGACCCAAGCAGUGACUCCACCAACGCCGCCGCCAGCAAUUCAGAGUCGGAAGACCCUUUGAUUCAGUACGUGGUUCUCCGGAGGGACUUAAUUGACACUUGGCCUUUAGGUAGUGUGGUUACACAGGGAUGCCAUGCCUCCGUCGCCGCGAUUUGGUCCUUCAAAGACGACCCUCAUACUCUCAACUACUGUAACCCCUCUAAUCUCCACGCUAUGCGCAAGGCUAGUGGCUUCCUCUUUUAUUUUAUUUAAAUAUUAAUCUUUUUUUUCUGGAAAUUAUUGGAGCGGGUUUUUCGUUUAAUUAGCCGAAUUCUUAUAGUAUUGCUGAGCAAAGAGCAUUAUUAGGCAAAGAGCAUCUAAGAUCUCAUAUUGUUAGGGGAAUCUACCAAAAUUGCACUAUUCUGAGCUAGAAUGUGGUGGAGUCUGGUUCGACUCAGUGUGGUUGAAGUAGGCCUGUUACCUUUUCUUGAUAGGUGAUGGGAAGUAUGAUUGUUUAGAAAAUUAGAAUGCAACAUAAAGAAUACUAAUGGUGGCAUUCCUCUGUUGAAUAGUCCGCUCAUAGGCAAGGCAAAGAUAUGUAAAUCCCUUUUUUGUCUGCUCUAUUAUUUGGAUGCAGGUUACUCUUGAAGUGAAGGGUGAAGCGCAGAUUGUAAAUUUGUCGGAGAAAUUAAAUUCUAGUGGUAUUGAUCAUAAGCUGUGGAUUGAACAACCUGAGAAUAUUCCAACUUGUUUUGCUACAAAGCCAUAUCCUAAAUCUAUUGUAUCGUCAUUUUUCAAAAAGGUGAAGCUGUGUAAGUGAUGAUAUUCUGGUGCCACUUGGAUGAUUCUUAAUGCAAAUGAAUCUUUUGCCUUUCCUGUGGGUUAUAAUAUGGAUUAACCUGAUGCGCUCUAUCUGCGUAUACUGUUAUUUUAGUUGAUGAAUAUUUAAUGCCAAUGUUUGCACUGCUGAUAUACUUUUCCAAAGAACUACUUUUACAUCAUCUGGCCUACAAUGGAUUAUUUGUUUUUAUUACGUGAUUGAUAUUUAACUUGAAUUUUGUUGGUUAUUGGUGACAGCAGUUUCUGUUAACGAUUGUCUAGUCUUUCAAAUCUAGUGCUGAAGAACUUUUCACUCUCUAGAAAUUCCACUUGCUUAGGAGUUCUUAUGCUUGAGGUUGUUUUGCUCUGCAUCAAUUUAGCCGUUAAGUUUUAUUCAUGUGUCUACCAUAUUAAUCUGUCCCUUGAUCUUCUUUUAUUCUCAAUCAAAGUUGACAUAGGUCCUAAAGAGUCCAAUUAUCUUUAAUUUUGUAACUAAGCUGUAGUGCUACAAACAAAUGCAACAAGAAUUGUUUUGGAAUUUGCUUCCCAAAAUAUAACCUUUGUACGUUGUGAACAAACAUCAUCCACACAACUAUGCAUUUGUGUUGUGUUGAAAUUUCAGUUGUAUGAACUCUUUGAACACGUCAAUGGUUUUUUUUUUAUUUUUUUAUUUUUAAACACACCAAUGUUAUUAGAACAGAUUAUCUGUCUCAACUUUCAACCAUUAUGUGAAAGUAUGCUUCGCAUGGCAUGUGCUGCACAUUUGUUCUAUGGCAUAACAAACUUUUGUUAGGUGAUGGUGCUUCCAUUUGUAAAGAGGUUCUUGAAGUUUUGACAUUUUCGAUUCAUUUCCGCAUAUGUAUUCUCUCAAUGGGAGUGGGAGGGACAAACAUAAAAAAAUUAACAUUAGUCUUUUUAAUUGACUAUUCAUACUGCUCAGAUAUUUGGUUGUUUUUAUGCUACUUUAGGUGUGUUCAGGUAGUUUUUGAUAAAUCGACUGCCCGUGGAUCACAUCUCUUCUUUUUGUUAUGUAUCAUGUUGAACACAGAAUCUUUUAAGACCUAAUUUUCAACUGAAAACAUAUCUAAAGGGUAUUUCUAGAUCACCAGUACUCAGAUACAUUUUGUUUGUGUUUUGGUGUAAUUAAUAGUUGUGAUAGAGCACAAACAAAUAGAUGCACUGGAAAAUGAUUGUUUAGGUUGUGAUCAAUAUCUGGUUUUUAGGAGGUCUUCGGUGGUUUAUUCCUUUAUUUGGCAAAUCUUGAUAUGAGAAAUAGCCAUGUGAAACUAAUUCCAAACUCCUGAAAAAAUUUUCAUGUAAGAUUUAUACUUUUGCUACUUAGCUCAUAGCUGUCUUAUGAAUAACAUACUCAUUGGAAAAGGAAGACAACUUAUAAGAUUGGACUAUCAAAAUCAGGAAUUUAAGAUGGAUGGGAGCUUGUAGCAUAGUUUUUCAUGAUGAUUGUGGAAGUCAUAUUCAUUGAAAGAGUUUUGUUGGUGGCUGAGAAAUAGCAGUAUGACUUAUGCUGAACUAUUGAAUGCUAGAAAAUUUAACCUUUAGCCUGGAAGAUGGAGAUUAUGAAUUUUAUAAAUAGUCUGCUUGACCAGCAUACGGCACUAACUUUUUGAGGAAAUGCUAAAUACAUUUUAGUUUUACAUUGGAUGUUGCUGGUCACUUCCUCAAUUAGAAUUUUUCGUGCGGCAUCUAAUUUUUGUGAAGAAGGUAUAAUAGCAAAUGUGGGACACAGUUUAGAUUUUGUUCUGCUUUUCCUAGAUAAUAUUUCUGCAUUGACAGAAAACUUUAAGUAGAUAGGAUAGGAUGUUAGAGGUUUGCUUACUGACCAUCCUCUUGACCUGCCCUGUGCCCCCCUCUCAGGCAUACCUAUCCAAAUAAAAGGAAGAAAGUGCCUUACAUGGACAUAAACACUAUAAAUUAUUGUACCUUUUGCACUGUUCACAAACAUUGAAUAGGCCUUGAAAUUCAUGCCUUCAAUGAGGCUGAGACGCAAUUAAAAGCAAAAUGCAAAUAGAAACAGAGCACAAUCAAUAGAAAUAGUUAUUGUUAGGAAUAGCAGCCAGCCAGAUUAAAUCUGGAACUUACGGGUAUUUGAACUUAUUAAAGUCCGAUUAAGGCGACUGAUGGAGAAUUUGUUAGGGUUUGGUAUUUCAUGGAGGUUACCAGCGGGUAACCCGAUAGGAGUUGGUAAGAAAACCCCAAAUACCCACUACUUGAUGUGUGGGUGAAAUUGUUAUAUGAUAUAAUUUAGUUAACAAAAAUCUAAAUGUUGAAAUUUUCCUUAAAUCAAUUUGAAACUUUCAAAAUUUUAUCAAUUGUAAACCGUUAUUGGCUUCCAAUGCUUGAAAGCUCAAAACUUACACAUUUGGCUUUCUAGUAAAUUAGUUUAACAUCAUUAAUUUAAAGGCUUUCUUGGAUAUUGAAAUCUAUAAAUAAGACUCUAUAUAUUGUCUAGCAUAAUAGUACUGAGACUCUUGAUUGACACCCACUUAAGCAAAAACUUUUGCAUUUGGUUGAGUUUUCAUUGGAUUGAUGGUUAACAAAUAACCCAUGGGUACCCGAAGCAAUGUGGCUCUGGGUUUGGUAUAUACAUUGUUUUUUUUUGAAACACUUGACUGGUACAGGCUUGAUAAACACGUCAAAAUCGGUCAGGUAAUGGGUUUGGUAUGGUCAAUUUAGAUGGGUACCCUACUCGUUGCCAUAUCUGGUUGUAGUCAUAGCUACUUCAUGAAUUAACUGAUAACAGAAUUUAUCUUGUUCUGUGAAGACAUUAUUCCGCUGCACUUAUCCACUGUGCUAUCAUAUAACCCAUAUCCAAUCUUAUGUUGUUUCAUUUCCUAUUUGUUGAAAUUUGUGAGCAUCUGGUUGAGUUCCCUUUGCUUUAUUUUCAACUCCAUGCUUUUAUGUCAAUAUGUAGAGAAAACCAUAUUUUGCGGAAUGAAAAGUGUAAUCUUGCAGUAUGUAAGUUCAUUCUGCAACGAUUAACUGAACUUUAUUUGAUCAACAUGAAAGAUUUCCUGUUCUAAAUUGCUAGUUUUGAUGAAAUUAUGGGCUUCCUUAAUCCAAUUGCUUCAGAGAAAAUGUUUUAUUUUUUUUUUAAUGAAUUUUAAGUACUACAUACAAGUUGGCUGCUUUCUAAGCAGCUCCUCCAAACUAGGUCCAAUGGAAUUAUUAGAUGCAUGACCACAUUUAUUUACUGCAAUUGUUUAUUAGUGUACUGGAUUUACUCCAGAGUACAUGCAGCCUUUCUUUUGCUUCCUUAACAGUAGAACUGCUUGAACAAUAUGCCUUUCUUAUUGCUUGUGUGCCUUUCCUUCCAUUUCGGAUUUGAUUAUUAGAUCGAUGUAUUCUCUUUCGAGUACCCAACGAAACCAAAUGAGACCCCUCAAAAGGAUCUUUUUCAAAAUCCAGUGCAGGACUAAGUUCCCAUAUUGGAACAUGGAAUUUGUGAAGACAAGUUGUCUGUUUUUAAUGUUAAACCAAAUGAAUUAUUAGCAAAAUGUUGAAGGAAAACUGGAUGUGUAUAAAGUCUGUUUUUUUUCCUGGGUUGAAUUGGAAACUUGUAUGGGCAUGGAAUGAGAUACUCUUGCUGAUAAUGAGAGGUUAAAUGAACUUAACAUUCCCAUGACAUGAAACUUUGUAAACAGAGAAGGAUACAAUUGGAUCAUGAGUCUCACAAGUUCAUUUUAGUCCAAUUGAAAAUAGCCAAUUUUUUUACACUCAAACCCUUUCGCUUACACCAUGUCUAAAUUCAUCUACAUCAUUCUUCUACUUAUUUACAGCUCAAGGCAAGCUGGUUUGAACUGGAACUUGCGAGGCCCCUAAUCAGUUACGGAUCAUGGGCCUCACAAGUUCAUUUUGAGGGCAAAAUAGCCAAUUUCUUUUUACACCGCAAUUUUACUUGUCUACACCAUGCCUAAAUUCAUUUAUACCAUUCUUCUACUUAUUUACAUCUCAGGGCAAAUUGGUUUGAAUUGGAACUUGUGAGGCCCGUAAUCCGUAUCUUUUACAUUUGAACUGGAACACGUCUAACCGGUUUACUUCGAAGUUUUGUUUGUAAACAUUUGAUAAUCACAAUUAGUAUGGAAGUUACAAAUUACUCGGUAAUGGAAACGAUUUUUGACGAAAGCCUAUUGCAUGUAUGGUUUGACAAAUUCUAGGAAUAUGUGAUCUCCCUUGGUCUCUUUCAUUCUUGCGUGUUCUUCAAAAUGACCUGCAAAGUGCAUGGAUCAUGUCUGAUAUUCGAUUGAUCUCUCUGUCAUUCUAGUAUGUUCUUCACAUGGCCCCCAAAGUGCAUGGAUGAUGGCUGAUAAUUGAUUCAUUUGGGAAUCAAAAAGAGAAAUUUCCAACAUUUCCAACAGCUGACGAGCUUGUCUCAUUUUGAUUUCUAGAGAUGAACUUAUCAACUGUUCAUGCUGUUGUUUCAUUUCAAAAGAUGAACAAAGCGUUUUAGUUCCUAUGUUUAGAUGAUCAGCACAUACUGUUAUCCAUCAUAUCAACGGAAUUACCAUGACUGGCAAUGUUUAGUUGCAUUUUCAAACUUGUUACCUCCUUCACCAUUGUUCCUAGUCAAUUGCCUUGACAGCGUCUCGUGUGGGCAUGCAACUUUGCUUGUGCUGAGCGACGGGUUUGGUUCAGAGAACAGGUCGAGGUUGUAAGCUCUUUUUAUGGGAGAGGAGGUUUUGGAUGUCGGGUUGGAGGAUUUCAGGAUUGGAUGACGGGGCCGUUGAGAUAUGCAAAAGGGAGUAGAUUUCAUGUUGCUACUGGAAGGAAAGGGAUGGUGGUGGGCAUUGGAAAAACUUAUAUCUAGUUCAAAACAAGAAAACAUAAAGUUUAUAAAGUUAAAUAUAAAUUAGGGUGCAUUUCAUUUUAGGGUAGAGCCAUAUGAUUUCGACCAAGUUAUUUAGGAUGCAAUUAUGCCGGAUUUUAAAGUUGUUAGACAACGCAAAAUUUCGAAUGCUGAAUGGUCAAAUUCGGCAUUCGUCAAAAUCAACUACUUUUUUUUUUUUUUGUGGAAGGAAAUCAAAUACCCCUUUUUUUUUCUUUUUUUUUUUUAAAAAGUUUGGCAUUUCGAAAGUUUAGCACCAAAAAGUCAUUUACUGGAGUUGAAAAAAGACAAGUGGCUCCUGGGAUUGGGUUCUUGGGUGGUAGUAUCCCACUUAGCAGCAGGGUUCCCCCUUUUAGGCUAGUUAUCCCACAUCGAUUCUGGGGUGGGGUUUGAUUGGAUAGUUAAGUUCCUGGGUUGACUCUAAGAGUUAGCCGGCUUUUGGAGUUCAAUUUGGGAUUAGGUUUAAUUCAUUCAACGAAAAGUCAUUUACUGGAGUUGAAAAAAAAAAAAGAAAGUUUAGCACCAAAGAUAAUUUGAGCUCCUUGCGUGACACUAUGUUGGGUUUUCGUCCAAUGAUGAAUUUGAACAUUUCGGCACCCAAUAAAAGAUCCCUUAAAUUUAGAAAGCUCUUUCCCCUGCUAUUUUCAAUUUAUUUUUGCCUUCCUCAUUCCUUUUCAUUUUAUCAUUUCUUUCUUCUUCUUUUUCACUCGCAGUCUUGACUCUUCCUUUGUUUCCUCACCACUACCAAAUGCCCAAAGUACAACAAGAUGCUAAAUAUAAAAUUCGUUCAAAUUAUCCAUUACAAUAGAACAUGACUCCAAAAUUAAAAUGUCUAGAGAUGCUAAGCCACGUUAUAAGUUUUCAUUUGGCUAAAAGAAAUCGAGGAUUGAACAGAUUAUAAGCUCAUCAUUGUUUUUGCUGAUAUGAAAUAAUAAAUCAAGAGAAAUAUAGCAUUAAUUGCCACAUGAGCCACCCCACAUAGCGUCGAUCCGUAAGGUUGCUUCUUUAGGUUUGAUAUUUUGUGUUUGUCCUCGACAUAAAUUUCUGAUCUUUGUAAUUAUUUUGAGCUGAUCAUGAAAAAGUUGACAGUUGGAAAGCUAACGAAGGUUUAGAACAUAUUCCUUUUUGAAAAGCUGCACUUGAAAUAUGCCCCGCAAAAUGAAUCUUUUUCCAGCUCAAGAUAAGUCAAAAGCUAAAGAAAAAACAUAAAAAGGCCAACAAUAUGUUGAAACUUAUUUUAUAAUUUAUAGAAAAAAAAAAAAAAACCAGUUUUAGCUCACAUUCACAUGUUGCACUGCUGAGUUGACGUUCUGAUUUCGAGCUCAUUAAUAUGUUGUUCCAAUCACAAUACCUAAACUCCACAAGAAAAAGAAGUGCAGCAAUUAUUUUUAACCAUCAAGACAUAGGAAGGAGUCUUUCACAGUUUCAUUUUCCUAUACUUUCUCAUAAUCUUGAUGUCAAUAAGAGAUACACAUCUUGAAUACUCAUUCAAUCCAUAUAGUUGCCUGUCGAAGGAACUUUGUAUUCUUUUUCUUAAUUGUAUAUGCAUUAUGAUCCACUUCCGUGGGUCUUUCGACAAGAAAGGUGUAUAAGAAUAAUUCCAUUACAUGCUUUGUAAAUUCGUACUACAGUCACGAUGCACUGCGUUACUUAUUUGAGUGGGAUUUAUAGGAGCAACUGUAAAUUCGUACUCGAUUUGGGGGGGAAGGGUUUGGAUAGAUAAGUCCUCGCAAGACUUUAAAAAUUGCCGAUUUUUGAAGUUACUGUGGGGAUUAGAUUUAUUUACGUAAAUUCUUAUUUCUGUAAAAAAAAUGUAAGAAAAAAACUGUAAAUUCGUACUAAAGUCAUGAUGCACUUCCGUUCCGUGGGUCUUUUGACAAGAAGGUUGUAUAAGAAUGACUCCACUACAUGCUUUGUAAAUUCGUACUAAAGUCAUGAUGCACUGCGUUACUUAUUUGAAUGGGAUUUAUAGGAGCAAUUUCAGGGUGAGAAAGGAUGAGUUGGUGGGAAGAGGUCAUCUAUGGCGGAGAAGGAAAAAUGGAACGAAAAAGGAGCAAAAGAAGCGGGAAAAAAAUAUCAAAAACUGAAAAGAAACAAUGGGAGAAAAAAUUGGAAAAAAAGACAAUUUUCGGAUUUUAGGGAGUUAACUGACUGUUAGAAGAAAUUUGAAGGAUAAAGUGCUUAUUAUCGAUGAAAUUCAACUUUUAAGUAUUAAAGGUUGCUUUUAAACUCUAAUCAAAAAGUAUACUAAAAAACUUUCAAUUCAUUGUUUCACUUCAACUUCAAUUCAAGGAUUUGAAGUAAAUUUAUUCACUUUAAUACUAAAAACUUGAAUAAAGUUGAAAUAUUUGUUUUAAAAAAAGUAAAUUCUAACUAAACUUUCCAAUUGUUAUUAGUUCAGUCAAUUUCUUUUUGAAUAGUCAUCGGAUCGAAAACAUGACCGGUCCACCAUUUGACCGGUCAGUCCGGUCGAAUUUUCACAACUUUCUUUAAAGCAGACUGAGUUGGUCGCCGGUCAUAUUAGAGACGAGCCUUUCCAGAUAAAUCUUAUUCUUUAGUGCAGCAACUGUUGCAUAUUUUAAUUAUCCAGUGUACUCCAGCUAAUUUUGUUCCUUAAUCUCUCUCUUUAGUCACAUGUCAUUACGCGACAUUGUUGACUUUCCCGUGUAUUCUUUGCAGUUUGCGCAGAACAAGAAUCAAACGAUCUGAUUCUCUGGAUUACAGGAAUUUCAACGCAUGCUUUUUCCGCGACCCUUCUGGUUCACUAAGCAAAGACAAAAUAAAAGUUUGGCAAAUGAAUAUUGAAAUUGAAACAGAUCAUAAGCAAAUCUUUUAAAACAUUAGUCAAAAUUAGACCAACCCUUUCAGACCUCUUUUCUCUCCUAACAUGUACAUUCAUGUCCCACCAUCCCGAACCUACCCCUACUUAUAACUUCUUCCUCUUUGGCUAAAACACCCCCUCAACUACCCAGAAGUUACAAAAAGAUCCCUCCUAACUUUCCCUUUUCUCCUUUUGCUUCAUCAGUUCUUUAAUCUCUCUGUUCUUUAUAUCCAGUUGACUCGAAUACCACUAAAGUGCCGCCACUUCCAGCACUAGUGGUACUAUUCUCCUGCAUCGCGCCUUGCGUAUGACGAUGCUCCCCUUCAUAAGUCACAAUCAGCAUCGUUGGAUCAUCAGUCGCCCUCUCCACAUGCUUUCUUGCUGGGCAUCCUCUCACAGUACUACACUUGUAAUAACCCCUGAGAAAUGAAUCAAAAAACUUAAUCAGAUCUAGCCAAAAAAAUAAAAAAUAUCAAAUUCAUCAAUGUUAGAAAGUCCGACAGCCCAGGGUGAUUAUGCAUGAUAAUUACCGUGGGAAGGGAGAGCCCUUGAUCGGCUUCUGACCGUACUUUCUCCACGAGUACUCGUCAGGUGGAAUAUCGGCGAUUUUUGAACUAAUCGCCGGGACUCUGACAAUCGUCUUAACCCUGGAUUUCCUGUAACCGAAAAUUAAGAAAAAAUCAGUCUUGUAAUCGUGCGCCCCUAACAAGUAUCAUAUGCUAACAUGCACCAAAUGGAGACACAAGAAUUUCAUUAUCGUGCCCCGUUUAAUAAGUACGAAUACUAUUGUACGCCGAGGAAAUUAGUGGCUGCGGUCAAUCAAGAUGGGAGUUACGUCUAAAAUACGGCAUCUAUGACUGGUUGGACCUAUCAAGGAACGUCACCAUCACGCGCUUUUAUUAAGUCAAUAAAUCAACAGUUCUCUAAUUUUUUAAGAUUUUCUUUUUUCCCUUGCUUGAAAAAUACACCAAAAAAGGAAUAGGUCAACAAUAUAUUCCUUUUUUUUUUUUCAAGAAACAUGUAUAGAUUUUCUUCUUUCCAUAUCUAGUUACCAAGAUACCAGUUUUUCCUUACUUUUGCCUAUAAAAUGUCGUUUUUUUUCCUUUUGACCGCCAAAAAAAAGGUACAAAAUUUUUAGAUUCUAGUUAAAAGAAAAGAAAAUUUUAUAUUAAAAAAAUCAAAUUAUUCCUAACAUGCGCCGGCAAGAAGGAACUUACUAACGUCCACCUUGUAAAGCAAACAGAUUUAUUGAAGAAAUAGAGGAGGCAUCAUAGGUGUACCUUUUCUUGCAAUGACAUCUGCCGGAACCGGAGGUCUUGCCGGAGGCGCUGUCGGAGUGGCGAUCAUGUUCACGGCACCUUUUGCCAGCGAUAGGCGGCUUUCCGGCAGAAAGUGCUGGAGCAGGAGCUAAGAACAUGGACGAAGAACCUUGUUUACCGUUCGACACGCUUCCCUCGCCGGUGAUGGACGACAUGAACGAGGACGAGUUCACUGACGUCGACAUCGGCGGCGAUAUGCUAAAACUGUCCUUAGCAACCACCUCACAGUUCGUCGCUUUCGGGUCGACUUGAUUCGAAAUCGGAGCCACCAAGUUUGGCUUGGUAAAAUCAAGAGUCAACAUCUGUUGUGGCUGAAGAGUCAACCCCAGAGAUGGAACCCCCGCCGGCGCCGGUUCCGGUGCUAGAACCGGAGCCGGAGAGAGAUUCAAGUCCUGGCAAGGAUGAAACUGAGAGGAAGUAGAAGUAGAAGUAGAAGGCACCGGAGAGGACUGAAAACCCAAAUUCUGCGGUUUAUUAACCGGUCCACGCCUGAACCGGGCGUGACCAGUCCGAUUCAGACUUGACAUGGCUCUAUUAAACUUGGAGACGGUAGAGUCGGCCAGCUCUCUGCAGUCCAUUUGUUGCUGAUGUGAAACAAGUCGGAUCAAUUGCUCCAUGGAUUUUAACCCGGCCGACGCUGCUUCUUGCAGAGCAACUUGUUCGUUAAUUUUUGAAAUUCCUAUAAAAUCUAAAGCCAUUUCUCAAAAAUUGCUUUACACCCAAAAAAUUGAAAAAAGAUUAAUUUGAAGGCAUAGCAGAAAUGAAGUGGAAGCAGGGGGAGGAGGAGGAAUAUAUGGGAGAUUAGGGUGACCGGAUGACCGGGUAUCAGUCAAAGUAACAGUAGUUUGAAUAUGUAUAGGUGCCGAGGUGGUGUAGAAAGAGACAAGACAGUGGCCUUUAUUUUUCUUUCGUUCUUUCCUCUGUUCUGGUGGUAUUGUUUUAUUAAGUGGGGACCAAGUUAAGAUGAUUAGUAGGAUUUCAAUAUCUCGCCAGAGGAGAAAAUUGAAUUCAAGCCGUGUCGAGGAUUUGGUAGGAGAAAGACAAGUUAUGGAUCGGGUUGUGUACUUGUGUGGAAUUGGAUCAUUAGGGGAUGGUUUUGUAUAUAUUGUGAUUUUGGUGGUCUGGGCGACAGGCAUUAAUAGCUGUUUUGUUGGUUCAUGGUUGGUUGGGGAUUCUGGCCGUGAUUAUGGAAAUCAGAAACCUGACUUUGCCGUGGUAUAUGGUUAGCAUGGGUUGUUUGGUCGUGGGAUACUUGGUUUUAGUUUAGGGAUAAUAUCAUAAACCUCCUUUGAGAUUUCUCCUAACAUAACUUAGCGUCCCUGAGAUUUUGAAAAUAAUAACUUAUCCUCCCUAAUAAUUACAAAAAGGCUAUAUUAACUGUUAUUUAAUAUAUAAUUCACAUAUCAAAUAAAUAGAGAUCAAAAAAUUAAAAAAAAAAGAAACAAAAGUUACUUUCUUCACUUUCCCUUAUCUCUUAACAUUUUCUCUUACUCAUUUUUUUGCAUCGUUGUGCGAUUUUUUAUUUAUAAAUAAUAGUAAAUUGAAUAUUAUUUAUCUUUAUCUUUUGAGAUUGUAAUAGAAUGGGAUAUGAUUUCUUUGUUUGUUUUGAGUUGGUUAUAUAAUGAUUGGUACAACUUAAAAGUUUAGACCAUGAGUUGAGAAGAAGUUGUGAAAAAUAUAAGUUUCAUAAGAAAUUAGUUCUAAACAUAUAGAAUUAAAUUUGUGCUAAUGUAUUUCUUUACAAAUAUCUUUUUUGUUUUUCAAAUUUAUAUUUUAUAGACUAUAGAUUUGUGACGUGGUGGUAUUAUUAGAGAUUGUAUUUUAGGUGGUGGUUUUUCUUGGAAUAAACAAAGUGGCUUAUUAGUAUUUUUAUUUAGCAAAAUGAGAAAAAAGGUAGUUUAGGGUUUGUGAAAAUUUUGUUACAUAAAUAACAAAAGUAAGGGAGGAAAGUAAUAUUUUAAAACCUUAAAGAUGCUAGGUGAUAUUAAAAGAAAUUUUAGUGGAGGUUUUUGAUAUUAUCCCUUUAGUUUAUUGCUAGCCUAUUUGAGGCAUGAAUCAGAGAUUGUUUUUAAGUGCUCACUUAUACUGAAUUAAAUGCCAAAACUAUUCUACUAGUGUGCACACUCAUAUUCAUUGUCUCUUAUAUUUAAUGGAUUAAUCUUUUCUACACUGACAAUAUUAGAUGAAUGAUAAAUAUGUAAAUUUUGAAUUUAAAAUUCAACUUUUUCACAUAUGUCAUAAAUCUAACGAUGAUAGUGUGUACGCUAUCAGUGUAUAUAAAAUUUAUUCAUAUUUAAAUACUUUUUUAUUGAAUUUUAAUAUAAUCUUAAAAAUUUCUUUCAAAAUUUUCACUAAUAUCAUUUAGCGCUCUUAAAGUCCCCAACAUAUCACUUAUCUCCCUUAUUAGAGGCAAAAUAUCUUGUUGGCCCCUUGAAUUGUUAAUUUUGUAUACUUUCAAUCCUUUAACUAUUAUUCAUAUAUUUUAAUCUCUCUUAUUUUAACUUUCAACCCUUUAACUAUUAUUCUAUCUUAUAUGUCUAAAAACAUAUAAUUCUAGACCUUCUGUUAAUUUCAACCAUGACUCCAAAUGAAAUCUACCUCAAAAUGAUGUAAUUUUGAUCAUUUUCAAUCUUCCAAUCACAUCUAAUCACCAUUGCAACUAUCACAUGCUAAUCAAUGGCCAUUGAUUAUUCUUGAUCAAUAGUUGACUGCUGUUCUAAUAUUAUCAAAUUUAGAUGAAAUUACACUUUUAAACUUUGUUUUUCGAGUAGAUUCCAAAUUUAGACUCAGAUUUCUAUGAAUCUUGCUAGUUAUGAGUAGAUGUUUGCUUGUGUUUCUAUUGGUUACAGAAGCAUCAUAAAUAUACACUUUUAAGGUUGGAGGGCUAAAAAUAUACAAAUAAUAAUUGAAGAGCUAAAAGUGUAUUGACUUAUUAGUUUAAGUGCCAAUUAGAUAAUUUGCCCCUUAUUAGUGAGAUGUGACAACAAAUUACCAUCACAACAUACUAAUUGCCAAAAUUAUCCUCACUACUUUAACAAUUGUUUAGGUUAAAUAAUAUACAUGAGAAAAUAUAUAGCAUGGCUAUUAUAACUAAUUCUUUUUGCACUUGAACCAUCCCCAUUUAUUUAGUCCUUCUAUGGCAAUAGUCUGCUAAAUUAUCUUUAUUAUUCUAAUAUCUCUUGGGCAAAAAAAAUCUAGAAGGAAAAUAUUGAAAUGAAGAAAAACAAUGGCAAAUCUAACAAUUAUUUUUUGCACUUAAACCCAACAUUCUAAAAUUUUUAGUCCUUCUAUGCCAACUUUAUACUAACACUCUUGCUAUUCUAAAUUUGUUUAAGCAAAAAGAAAGAAAAGGAAGAGAAAGAACCAAAAUCCAUUUAAAAAGGAGCUAUUUAUUUUUUCACUUAAACACAAAAGGUUAGAGUUGUAAUAAAAAUACAUCUCCAUCCUCAAAUUAUUAUUUUGUGAUUAUUAUGAUGAUAUUGGGUUAUCAUUGUUACAAGAGAUAUGAUCUAAGUGAAGUCAGUGAUAUUUUUGGUACUUCAACGGAUGUCAGUGAUAUUAUCAGAAACAUCAACCGAAGUUUAUGGAAUUAUUCAUGGAUUUUAACAUUUUAAAAGAUUAGCAUAUGAAACAUCUAUUUGGGCUAAGGUACAUCACAGGCUUGGGGGAUGGAGUACACGAUAUUUGUUGGAGGGAGGAAAGAUUAUUUUAUUGUGUCAUGUUUUAAAUUCCAUGCCAUUAUAUUUGUUACAAGCUGUGGAUCCUCUGAAGAUGGUUCUUAGGAUGAUUGGUCAUAUUUUCAAUAGUUUUUUAUGGGACAGCAGCUCCUGGGAGAUUUUGUGUUUUCCAAUGGAAGAAGAGGCUUUGGGCUUUAGGUCUUUUGAAAAUGUUACUAAGGCUUUUGGCAUGAAACUUUGGUGGAGUUUCACCAAACAAAUCUAUUUGGGCCGUGUUUAUGCAUAAUAAGUAUGUUAAGGAUUAUCAUCUCUUGGAAAUUCGGUCAUUAGGUGGCUCAUUGGUAUGAAAGAGGUUACAAUCCAUUGGUGAUGGAACUGGGCAUUACAUUAGAUGGAAGCUUGGUGAAGGUAUGGUUGAUUUUUGGCAAGGCAGAUGGCUCCUUGAUGUUCCUUUAAGAGAGGAGUUGGGUGUUUCACACACUUCUCAUUGUUUGGUUGUUGAGUUUUGUCUUGUUUAGGGUUGGAAUAUUCCAAACUUGAGGAGUUUCCUACCUCAGUACUUGGUGAACUUGGUGGCGGAAUUGGGGUUUGAUAUUUCUCAGCCUGAUUUGAUGAUUUGGUGUGCUUCUUCCAAUGGGGUUGUUUGUCACGUCAUCAACCUAUGAUACAGUUAGGUAUAAGAGGAAUAUUUCCCUUCUUUGGCAGGUGACAUGCAAUGAGCUUUUGCCCCUUAAAAUAUCUUUUUUGGUUUGGAAAGUUCUGAAAAAUUUUGUUCCUCUAGAUGAGAUCAUUCAGCAAAGGGGUGUGGCUGUCCAUAUUUGGCAACAUUAUGUUGCAAUAUUUGGACUUCCUUUUCAGAGAUUUACAUGUUUAUCUUCUUUUUUGAUGGCUUGGUUUGUUUCGAUCAGUUGUAAGUUGGCUCACAUUCAUUUUGUUGUUCUGACAUUAGUUGUUUGGCUUCUCUAGUGUGGGUGAAACGCUAGGCGAUUUGAGGGUUUUCCAUUCAUAUCUAAUAAUAUUAUAUUCAGAAUUGAUUAGUUUUUGUCGUUAUUAGGUGUUUCUCAUAUUUUGCAGCCAUCUUAGAUUGGUGGAGAUGAAUGUACAUUUGUGACUCAGUACGUCAAGCUUUGCCCUCCUCCAAGGGUGGUCCAUAAAGCUAUUUUUUGGGAGAAACCUGUUCAAGGCAAAUUGAAGAUUAACACAGAUUCUAGUGUGGUGUAAGGUUGUGCUUCAGGUGGAGGGAUUCUGCGUGGCCAUCCAAGGAUGUUGAUCAUGGCAUUUUACAAGGAGUUUGGUGGCAUGAAAGUUCUCUUGGCUCAAGGGAUGGCUCUAUUAUUCGGAUUGCAAUUGUGUUCCACUUUGGGAUAUUUAGAUGUGGACUUUGAGGUGGAUUCCUUAGCUUUGGUACAUUUUAUUUUCUCAUCAUCAAUUUCUGCUUGGCCAAUAUGUAAUGUUAUUGCAAAGAUUAGUAUGAUGAUCCUUUUAAACUUUAAUUGUCAGGUAAGGCACAUUUUUCGAUACGCUAAUUUAGUAGCGGAUAGUCUGGUAUCUUUGGAUGGUAAUUCUGAAAUUGUUAUUCAUACUCCAGCUAGUCUUCUUUUGCGGAUUAGAGGAUUACUGCAUCUAUAGAUUCUCUUAGUUUCCCUAUAGUUAGAUCAUUCAUUGUAAAGAAGUAGCAAUCCUGGUUUAUUUAUCGUAUGUUGUACUCAGGAGGUAAGGUUUAUGUUCCCCUCCUUGUACUUGUUUUGAUUAUUAAUAAAAUUUGGACUGACAUCCCAUCUCCGUGUACGGGAUUUUGCCAAAAAAAACAUGAAACAUUUCUUUAUAAGUGCUGAUAAUAUACUUAUGAAGUUGCAAUUCCCAAUGUUAUUAUGUUUUUUUAUGAGAAAUUUAAUCAUAACUCUCAGCAUCUCAUUUGCAUGUGGUCUCUAAUUUUUUGAUAAUCCAAACUCAAGCAAACUGAUAACAAACUCGAUUAACAAGUUUGCUCAUUCUUCAAUUCAUUAGCUAACAGAGUCUGAUAACUCAAAACAUUUUUAGUUUCUUUUUUAACAAAAAAGAAUUUUGUUGGUCGUAAACAUAGAAUAUCAACUAAAACUCUUCUUUUUUAACCCAAACAUGAUAGCCCGUGGUUAUUCAAGUAUUAGCAGGGUUUUUAGGUCUAUUAAGUAAGAGCGGUUGAAAUUUUAUUACUAUUCUCUUAUUUUUAUCCAAUAGAUGAUUUUUUGAGAUUCAAAUUCCAAUAUCUAAGAUUCUUAUCAAGCAUGUGUGUGUUUAUAUCAACUUAUUUAGCUCUUUCUAAUUUUCUUUACAUCUUGUAAUUAUGUAAAUGCAAUGCUUUAAGAUUAAUUACUUAAUGGUAAUGGAAUGAUUUACUAUUUAAUUAUUUUUCCCUUUCUUGAGUUAACUAGUCUUGAUUUGCCAUGAAGAUAUUCAAGAAGUGAUUUAUCAUAACUUGUGGACAUUUAUAGGCUAAUUUCUUAGAAUAUAUGUAUAAAAAAAAACAUCCGUCAAAUGUAGCUUUGACACAAGAUAUUUUUCAAUCUAUACCUCAGCACGGCAGCAAAAUGAAUUUUCCCUUCCCAACCAGAUGGUGUCAGCCUGUCAGAACCUCUGCAAAAAUUUCAAUGCGGUCAGUGGCACAAAUUUUUUUUUUUUUUUUCUGACUGGACACGACUAGGACAGACAAUAAAAAAAAAAAAAAAAAAAAGGGGCUAGGGGCCUUUGUCAGUCUUUAGUCAGGCGCUUGAAAAAGGCUACCAAAGGCCAACAAAGGCCAUGUGAUGAGCAUCUUCAGCGUACGCAAAUUAUUGGCUAAUUUGUACCGCUACCGUGUCCAAUCAGCACGGUAGCGGUUAGAUUUCUGCAAAAAAAAUUCUAGUCGUUCAUCCCGUUCAGAUGAAUGGCUAGAUUUGAUUAAAUUUGCUAUAUAAUGGGGAAGAGAUUGCCGGUUUUGCUCGCUCACUCUCAUUUCUCAUUUCUCAUUCUCCUCCGAAGCAACUCCCUCGCUUUCUCUUAGUCUCAAAUUUGCUAUAGCAGCUCCUUCUGUUGGAUUCGAAAUCUUUGAAAUCGACACCGUGGUUAGGUAGUUUUGCUGGAGGCUCAAAUGCACAAGGCUUGAAAAUUUUUUGGCCGAAGCUUUCUUUAAUAGAUUGGUAGUAGUAGAAAAUCUAUCGGUCAAUUUUGAUAGCUUGCAGAAAUUAUACUCGGUUGCUGGCAACUACAUUACCAGGUUAAUUGGUGCAGAAUAGUGUAAAUUGAUUGUCUGAUUAUAAUUGAAAUUUUAUUAGUUGGUUUUAAAAAAUUGAGAUUGAUUGGUGGAUAAUAAUAGUAAUUUGUACAGAAAAGUUGAUUCGCUACUGAAGUGAAAGUCGAGGGUUAACAUCAAGGACUAGCUGUUGGUAUCGCCAUGUUACGUAAGACCGCCGUGCUAAUCAAUUGCGGUGCUGAUAAAGGCGGAAUUUUUUAAUAGAUCAUACUCGUACAGGUUAGUAAUUUAAAUUAUUAUUACAUUAGUUAUUAAUUACAUUAUUUAUAUUAUGUUAAUUAAACAUGUAGCUUAUUUACGUAUUUACAUGUUAUAUUAUACUGUCAUCAAAUGAUAUUAAUUAACAUGUUUUCUGCAUAGUGUGUUGUUGUUAUACUAUAUUAAUUAAUAGUUAAUGUAAAAUGUGAUAAAUUUAUUUAUAAUUUUAUAAUAUUGAAGUGCUAAAAAAGAGUUAACUAGUGUAUAUAGUGAUAUAGUGUUGUCGACUACGACUUAUAUAAAAUUAUAUAAUUCAUAUAGAAUUAUAUAUAAUAUAAUUCAUAUAGAAUUACUAGAACAAUUAAUUAAAAUUAUUGGUUUUUACAUGCAUAAUAUACAUUAAUUAACUAAACGUAAGAAACCUGCCCGUCAAUCGAAUUACGACCUUGUCGUGGUAUGGGACCAAAAUAUUGCCUUUCACCAUACAUUAUUUAAUCAAUAAUUUAAUUGUUACCAAAAAUAGAAGUUGGACUACAUGUGGGUUUUUGCAGCCCAAAUUCCAGGUUUAUCCGGUUGUAAAUAUUUUAACUCACGAUCAAUUGUCAUGAAAAGUGACGAGAACAAUAAAAAAAGAAAAAAGUUAUAAUCUGCAAAUAUCAAUAAAAAAAUUUUGGGGAAGAGAUUGAUAUAGAUGAAGAAUUCUUGUACACAGGACUUUUGUAAGAUAUCAUAUAUACUGCGUGCGAGGUAAAAAUGUAAUUAAAAAACAUAUAGAAUGGAAGAUUCUAUAAGGAUGCAAAAAUGUUGUUUCGAAAAAAAUAUUGAUUCGAAUUGGUUGUAUUAUUACAUACGCCAAGCCAAAGUAAUUAUAUAUAAUUAAUUCAUGCUUAUUGGAAUACAUGAAUCCUUCUGUGUUUAACAACUAUUAUGCAUUUAAUAAUGGUUUAAUAAUAAUACAAAAUUUAAGUAAAAGACAAAUGGGAUAUUUACAAUACAAAAGGCAUCUUGGGACAUGAAUAAUGAGGUUAGGCUAAUGUAUUUAUUUUAAAAAUUAAUGAAAUGAAGUAUAUUUAGGAUUAUGGUUAAAAUUUAGUUUAAUCAGGUUAUUUUGAAAAAACUUGGUAAUGAAAUUUAUUUAGGAUGGCUGUAAAAUUCUAAUUUACUAAGAUUUAUUAUAAAAAUUAUAUAACCGACUAUUUUUUAAAGAUUAUAGAUAAAUAAAUAAAGAUAUAAUCAAUUUACUCGUUACCUGUAAAUAUUUUACGGUAACCAAGCAUGUAAAUAUAUAUGCUCAUUAAAAAGUUUAUAACACCUUGUUACUUAUAUGUAAAUUAGGCUUAAUAAGUCGAGCGAUAACUGUAUGGUACUGCAACUAUAUUGGGGAGGAAAAAUUGUAUACGCUGGAGGCUCUAUAUUUUACGAUCCACCUAUGCCCAAAAAAGUUCCCUUCCUAACAGAAAUGGUUGGAUACGAUGAAUUAUUAGACAAAGUAUACAAUAUCAUAGGUUUAGAUCGGAAUAGGCAAAGGAUAAAUUUGACAUUUCAAAAUUGCCCCCAGCUUGGUAUUUUUGGUGCGAUGCCUUUGGUUGAUAAUAAUGGAAUGGUUGGUAUGUACUACCAAAAAUCUGGUAGUAGACAACCCACUGAAAUUUAUGUUGAAGUGGAGGACAUAUUGAAUUAUUGUGGUAAUGGUAGUCAAACCUUUGAAAUUGGAAGUGGGAUUGAGACCGAACCACCUUGCCAUUUAUUCGACACUUCGAAUCUCCGCCAUAGUCAGCACACUCAAUUAGAGACGGUCGAUGAUCUCCCGUCCCGAAUAGAACGACGAAAAGGCAAUAUGUGCUGUAGAGAAAUUGAUCGUCCAACCACCAGUAGUCAGCCAAGUAUGCAUAAGUCAACAAUUAUGGCUCAUGCUGCGGAUAUUCCGACUUCCUCAAUGUUAGACCCUCUUCUAUAUACCGACGACAUUGAUUUAGUUAAUGUCAAAAUUGGUUUCAAACCAGAACCGGAUGAUGACGAUUCUGGAAGUGACGACAACCAAGAUGAUGUCUAUCUGGUUCAUUCCAUCCAAGCACGAGAUCAAAUGACAUUUACUGAACCCUUUUUAGGAAGUGAAGGUCCAAGUUUGCGAUAUGAAGCAGGAGUUGAUGCUGUACUGCAGUUUGACCCUCUUGAUACUCGAGAGGCCGAAAAGCUAAAGUUCUGGAGUGAGCGCACGAAAGAAUUAGAGUUGGACCAAUUGUUCGAGAUGAAAGAGCAUGUAAAACGAGCAGUUAAAUUGUGGUCCAUAAAGGAGAACAGAGAGUACAAAGUUCGGGCUAGCACACCUACAACUUGGUUUGUGCGCUGUAGAGCCCGAUACUCCACACCUCCAUGCAAUUGGUAGAUUCGUGCAACUCUCCAUGCCUCUCACAAAAUGUGGAUGAUCGUGUCAUUUGUACCUGGGCAUACAUGUGUCCGUGUGUGCAAUAUCAAUGACUAUCGGGGGUUGAGUGCCGAUUUAAUUGCCCAACACAUUAUUUAUCACAUUAUUAAUGGUCCGCUGUACAAAGUCAAGGAAAUUCAGACUUCUGUCAAAAAGGAAUUUCAUGUCAAUGUGACGUACAAAGAAGCUUGCUACGCCAGACGUCGGGUAAUUGACAUUGUUUAUGGUGAUUGGCGACAUCUAUUUCACAACUCUCAACAUACGUACAAGAGCUCCAAUUGUCCAACCCUGAGACAGUUGUUGUUUGGGACCAUCAUCCAUUGAGUACAGCAUCACAGAUGAUUUUUGACUAUGUGUUUUGGGCAUUUGCUCCUGCUAUCCAAGCAUUUCAUCACUUGAAACCGGUCAUUUGUGUGGACGAUACAUUCUUAAAGCGGCCAUAUCGAGGAAAAUUGCUAGUAGCUAUUGGGUUUGAUGCCCGUAACCAUAUCUUCCCUUUAGCCUUUGUACUCGUUGAUAAGGAGAACAAUCGAAGUUGGAGCUGGUUCAUGAGAUUAUUGCGCAUACACGUAUGUGGAGAUGUACAAAAUAUAUGCGUAAUUUCAGACCGACACCACGGGAUCAUCCACGCCAUACGGUGGCUAGAGGAGUGUAAAGAGCCGUGAGGGGUCCAUCGAUUCUGCCUGGUUCAUGUUCGCAGUAAUUUCACUCAGAAAUUUAGAAAUGAGAGGUAAUUUUCAACUUGUCAAAUGUAGUUAACCGUAAGAAUGACUAUUUACUUCUACACAUAUUUUUAGUUUGAUUCGAUUAUUAAGUAAUAACACAUAUAUGUGUAGGUUAAAGAGUCUCAUGUGGGCUGCCGGAAAGGCAAAUCAGCCUCGCAAGUACGAGGAAUUAAUGAGUAUCAUCUAUGGUAUGGUACCCGAGGCAUAUGUCUGGCUAAUCGGUGGAUCCGUUAGGCCGGAGCAGUGGGUCUUAUGUAAGGAUGGAGGGUAUCAAUAGGGUCAUGCAACAACAAACAUGGCCGAGUGCUUCAAUAAUUUGCUACGAGAAAGUCGCUUCCUCCCAAUCACUGCAUUGAUCCGAUACACCUUCAACCAAGCAGUGGAUUUGUUUGUGAAAAAUCACAAGAUGGCUUGGGAUCAGGUGUAUCACUUGCCACUGUAUGGAUGGGAGAAAUAUAUUGCAAAUGUGCGAAAGGACAGGGCGCACUCGAUGCAGGUGUUCGACAUAGGCAGGGAAUUUAUUGCAUAACCACUGCAUAUCGCCAAACUCAUAUAGGUGGUCAUACUCAAAUCGUUGGCAUUAGGAAUCACACCUGUACAUGUGGAAAAUGGAGAGAACUCCGAUUCCCAUGUUCACAUGCCAUUGCAACAUGUUUUAGGUCUGGCAUUAAUCCGAUGUCACUUGUCGGGUAGGAGUAUACAUUUGAAGCUUAUCAAGCUACAUAUGAGAGUCCUUUCAACCCGCUAAGGGACCCGAAAUAUUGGCCCGUAACAGAGUUGAGACUGAGCCUGUUAGCUAAUCGGCUGAAACAGAAAGCACCUGGACCAUUGAAGACCAGUAGAAUUAGGAAUGAGAUGGAUCGAAGAUGUCCUGAUGCACCGCGUCGCUGUACUAAUUGCCUACAACCUGGGCACACUGCUUCUAAUUGUCCAUUCAGUGGUUAUUUAUAAACCACUGUAACAAAUGUUGUUGUCUGUCCCUAUUGAUUUUUAACUUUUAUUAUAUAAAAUGUUCAAAUUAUAUAUUAAUUUUUAUUCGUAUUCCUGUCUGAACAACAAAAACGUGUUUCUGUGCCUAUACUUUGCUAAUAUUAUAAAAUGCUAAAUUCGCAUGCACCACGACAUACGUUACCAAAGUCGACGUAUACUAGGCCCUAUCAUAUAAAUCCGAACCAAACAUAUAUGAAUAAUAUUUAACAUAUUUUAUCAUGCAGAUUAAUGGAGAGUUGGAAUAUCGGAUCCUCGGCACCCGCACAUCAAGAACCGAAUGACGAUAGUGUUCUGGGUCUACAGUCCGAGCAUAGGUCCGCUGCAGUUUUCAAUGGCGUUGGUGUGGACCUUAAUGUUAGAAGAUGUGACAAAAGAUUCUUUCGACCCCUACACAAUUUGGAUCUACGAGUGGCGCACUAUAUCGACCAAGUAGGAUUUCGUGGUGUUCGAGUGGCUAGAUCAACUUUUACAAAAUCAGAAUUAGUUGAGAACAAGCCCACAAUCCAAAAACGGCCAAAAAAAGAUGAAUAAUUGAUCAGUUGAGGUGCCAUGUAACUUUAUGUGGACGUCAAUGACAAGGGACCACCACCACUUCAGUCGUAUCUAAAAAAAUCUCUGUUUUUCUUUCUAUUUCACGCAAUGAAUUUCAAAUUUAUUUUCCUAACAAGCAGAGUACCAACUGGUAAAUCUUGUGUUCUAAAAUAAUGAUGGGGGUUUUGAAACCAACCAUGGUUCAACAUAAUUUCAUGCCAACGUAAGAAAAAUGUGAAAUAGCCUCUCACAUUUGAAAUUUGGAAGGUGGUGCUGUCGAUUUUUCGACUCAAUUACAUGUUCCUCACUCUCCUUGCUCAAAGAUUGAUUUGUACGAAACACGUAAAAGAAGUGCAAUAUACAUCUAUCCCUACUACCUCACUUAAUAUCAUGUCAUACAUGUUUCACCAAUGUACAACACGCACUCUUUAAUCGUCGAAUUACAUAUACAUUGUUACGUUUCCAAGGCCCUUCUAAGCUCAAGAAGUUGGAAAAAUCGACAUUUCAGAAUAGCACCAACACUCCUAUGUAGCGAAGGAUUUGGUAUCAACUUCUACAAGCUAGAAUGAGGAAGUGAUUAAAGAUUCUCUCAUGCAAACCAUUUCUUUUGCAGCUUUCUUCUUCAUAAUUGCAAAAGAUCAUCAGCCUCUUUUUUGCCUUAAACAAAUUUGCAUCACCUGUGGCACUUUCAGGCUUUUUCAGAAAAAGCCCGACUAUUGGAACCUAAUUUCAUAGAAUUUAUCAAGUGACUAAAGUACUUAAACAGCAUCGUCAUUUUGCCGAAGAUGAUAAGUUGUGUGCUUUAUCAGAGGUUAAGGAUUGCCAACCAUCAGAAUCUCUGCACUAGACAAGAUUCAGUACAAGAUUUGUAGUUUCCAUUGAAGGCUUCCAAGCGUAAACCAAAAGGAACCAUUAAAUAUUAAAUAUUUGACAAUCAAUUAUAGAGUUUGCUAAAGUGAUUAUGCUCCAUAGCGACACAAACAAAUCUGUCAAAACAAGAAAUGGGUGGAGGACAAUAGUCACAAAAAUUAUAAAUCAACAUCUUCAAGUAGGCAUGAUUACAAAUUAUACAAUAAUACAUUAAGAGUCAAAAAGUCAAGCAACUAAUUGUGCAAUAGCACGGGAGAAAUUUGAAAAAUAGAUCCUCUGAGCCAUAUAUCUAGUGACAGAAUUGAAAUAGCUAGAGGUGCUUGUGGACAGAGUAGAGAAAAUAAACUACCAAUCUUAGCAAAUAAAAUGCAUCAAUUUAGAAGAAAGAAAUCAAGUCCAAGAAUUAUAGCCAAAUUCUUCAUUUUCCCAAGUUUUAACAUUUGCUACAAGGGUGCAUGUGGAGUGGGUAGCACCAACAAUUAAUAAAUCAAUGUAACUAAAAAGUUAUUCACUAAAUGGCUAAACUAAGUUCACCAAGACGAAAAACCAAAAUCUACCUAUUUGUCUAGAGAAAUGACUGUUCACACGAAAAGCCAUUAUAGCAAAAAUCAAAGAAAAUUGCAGAUAAGACUUAAGAGUGCAACCCUUAGAAUUGAUUCGUCAUCACAGAAAAUCAUUAACUUAAGAUGACCUAGAUGUAGCAAAGCCAGAGGACAACAUUGGUAAUCACAGAAAAUCACGAACUCAGAAAUUACCCUGAUUAUUGAAUAGUACCAAUUAAAAAAACAUAAAUGAAAGGAAUCCCUUACACUCCAAUUAUACUACAAAACAAAGUCACACAAAGUGCAGCACCAAAUCAACAGCGAUAACCAAAAACAUCACAAAUUCAGAGAGUAUCUUAAUGAUUGAAUAGCACAAAUCAAGAAGUUGGCAAAUGAAAAGAAUCAGUUAUAUUCCAACCAACAUAGAAUCUGUUGUAAAUAAAAGAAUAUUUCAAAAGAUUUUGUCCCAUAUUGAAAAACUAAAGAGACUUUGCAUUAUUUUAUAAAGUUUAGUUUCUUAUUGGAUUUAUGUUAGAUUGCUAACUAGUGUGGGUUCAUGCGGAUGAAAGGGAAGUUGAUGAUUAGUCUUUAUUUUACCUAAUUUUAGUUAGGUUCUAGGUUAUGUUUUUGUUAAAUUUUAAGAUACAAUAGAAGAAUUGAGUUCUUUGAUAAAUUAUAUUUUAUAUAAGUAGUGUUACUUAACCAAAACAUGGAAAAGUAUGGGUUAAUAUGUAAAUUUGUGUUGUUUUUGUAGGUUUUGGGUAGCAUAUGAAAAGAUUCAAAUAAAAAAGAGUUUGAUAGCUUUGACAUAUUUUGCUAUUUCUAUUAUAUCUUGAAUUAUAAGUAUCGGACUGAGGUGGUUCUUGAACCAUUUUAAAGUUAAGAAAUGGAUCUACAUUUCUUAUGAAGAUAUCGGAAUCCAGUUUGUUCAGUUUUCUAGUCAAAAAGUCAAAAUGCAGUCAAUAAAAUUUAUGUCAAAAGCUGAAACAGAACAUUUACUAGUUAGGGGUAUUUUGAUCAUUUUUCUGCCUAAGAGAUCCAAAUGAAAUGAUUCUUGAGCCAUUGAAAAGCUAACUCAAAUAUCUACAACUUUUAUGUUUUGUCCAGGACCUAAUUCGACUUCCAUCAUCAAGAAACUUUUAGUUAAAAUUGGAUAAAAAAUAGAGCAAUGUUGAGUUUUUAGUUGAAAGUGCAAAACUGAGCACAAAGAAGAAUCGCAAGAUAGAUUUGCCAGGUAGCAUGUCACAGAUUCACCUCACAGGUCCCUUGGACAGAGCUGUAAGUUGCAAGCAACUUGCAUUCGUUUGCCACUGCUUUUUGGAUCAAUUUUUCUGAAGAAAUUGAGUUGGAACCAGCUAAACUUGAGAGGGGAAAUCUAAGAACAACUUUUUGACCAUAUGAUGAGCUCAUUUUCUUGAUCAAAAACAUCUAUAAAUACCCCUUGUAUCUCAUUUAUUUGAGAUCAUAUUUUAGCAAGAGAUAGCAUCUUAUAGUAAGAAGUAGAGUAGAUUAAAAGUAGAAAUAAAAGUAGUUUUACCUCUACUUUCAUAUUGUAAGUUUCAAAAUUGGUUUAAGAGAUUUGAGAGAGAAACGAAAACACUCUUGUAUCAAACUCAUUUAAGAGAUCAACUUGUGAAGGAAUUCAAGGAUUUAAGAUUCAAGACUGAAUAAGAAUUUUUCUUCCUAAACUUUGUCUCUUAUUCUUAUUUGCCAUACUUUUUUACAAGUUUGUUUCAUGCUUAGAUAUUUUUAAUAUAAUAACUAGCUAAACUUUUUCAUAUUCUAGGGUGAAGAUGAACUUGUUAUAAUCUUAAUUUGGAGUUAGGGGAUGAUUAUGCUUUUUCAUGAUUUGUUAGUUUGAGAACUUGUGCUUAUACUUUAUAGUUGUUUGGCAAUCAAUUAUGAAUGACUUGAUCAUUGUUGAGCAAUGAAAGUUGCCUUCAAAUAGAUCUAAAUUUUUAAACAUUAACCUUAUUCUCACAAAAGUGGUGGAUAAUGGUUAGUUGGAUUCAUACAAUAAUUUCAUUGAGCAUAUUUAACUUGUUUCUUACCUUUUCUCUAUAAACAGAGAUGAAGGAUGAUUCAAAAAAUUAAAGAAAUUGGCAAAAGCAAUUUCUAGAGGAAUUAGGCAAGGCGGUUUCUUUUAAUUGUAUAUGGGUAAAAGCAAGGACAUACAAUUGGAAGUUAUUCCUUGACAAUUCAUGGAAGAUAAUUAGAAUCACCUUAACUAACUUUUAUUCUUGACAUAACAAGAGAUUCUAAUGCUUAGGAUUCUCUCACUUCAUCUUUAAGCAAUUCUAAUAUAACUUAUCUUUACUUUCAUUUAUUUUAUUGCAAUAUACUGCCUAAAUGAUUGGUUCUACCACCUACUAGCCGGUUUUAUAUUUAUUGCUUUUGCUAUAUGGCUGAUUGUACCGCCUAAACUAAAAUCUUUUAUAGCCGGUUAUGUCACCUAAGAUAACAUCUUUUGCAGCCGGUUUUACCGCUUAAUUAACUUUCUUUGUUUUUACCAUCUUAAAGUUUGAUUGUCUAGAUAAUAAAAUUAGUAAUUAAACGCAAGUGAUUACCAAUUUCUAGGUCCGUAUGGGAUUGACACUGUGAGAGCUGAGAAUUUAUUCAUAUAUUUCAUAUUUUAUUGAAAGGGUUGCAUAUACCAUAUCAUUGAUUGACUUAUGUGUUUAAUUGCCUCCUUAUAAUUUAAGUGCAUAGGAAUUGAAGAAUUCUAUCGGACGUCCAAUGCUUGCGUCCGAUCGAGAUCAGUGAUUUAGGGGGAAUGUCUUAUUUACUUCGGACGUCCGGUGAUGGAGUUUUUCAUGCUUCCGAAAUUGCGCAAUGAUUAUCGGACGUUCGAUCUUAUCUUCACAAGCGUCCGACAGCUUUCAGCAACUUUUGUUUCUUUUAAUUGCACUUGAUUUUUGAAUCUGAUUUGCUUAAUAACUGAAAAUAUAUCUUGAAAGGAUAUUAGUAUCAUCCAUUUGUUUUGUAAACAUAAAAAACUAGGGAUUAAAAUCAACAUUAUCCCCCUUUUGGAUGAUGACAAAACAAUGGAUGAAAAAAGAAAAAAAGAUUCAGCAUAAGCUCCCCAUCACUUAUUGCAUUCAAAAUUUUUAAGAGCCAAAUUUAUAAUCUCAAAAAGACUCCCCCUUACACAUAACAUCAAUUUCUCCCCAUUUUUGUUAUCAUAAGAUAAAGGUAAAAAUCAGCAACCAUAAUCCAGCAACAAUAAUAAAGAAUCCAAUAUUCCAAACAAAAAUAAAAAAAAAUGAUACCAGAAUUCAGCAAUUAUUGUCAAAAAAUUGAUACCAAACAGAGAAAUAACAAUCAAAAUAAUUAUCAAAGAAAACCAUCAUUAGAUCAACAUUAUUCUUUUCUCUCCCUUUUUUUGUCAUCGUAAAAAUUCAGUAAUAUCCAAAAAUAUCAAGAAAAACUCAGUUAAAGCAUUAGAAACAUCAAAAGAAAAUUACAAAAGAACAUUAUGAAAAAUAAUCUCACCAAUCUUACCAAUAUCUCCUAUUCUAAUUGAUUUAAUUUUCAUGUCAUCUCCAAAUAUCACUUGCCACAAGACUUUAGCUAGAGUUUUGAUGAAUUGUGAUGGAUCACCGGUCAUGUGUCUUAAAUAUUCACAGUCUAUGAACUACUUGGAUUCCUUAAUAAUGUUCACCAAAUUCACCUAUUCAAGAGUUCAAGAACUAAUAUAUAGUACCCAAAAAUUUUUGGGUGCUUGAGAGUUAACAUUAUGUCUAACUAUCCACACGCAUUUUACGUUAUUUCUCAUAUUUUUCCUUACAUAGUAAUUAUUCUUCAUGUAACCAACUUGACAACAGAAACUACACAUAGUCAGGGAAUUGCUUACAUAAACAGGUUUAACAAAUCUGACUUGCCUUCUUCUAUAAAUGGUAAAUUCGUUUGCAUUAGAAUUCAACCUUUUUUUAUGAAUGUCGAAGUGAGGUUUUGGUUCAUUCCUUUGAAAAUAGACUUAUUUUUAUAUUGGAGCAAAUUAUUUAAAUUAUCCAUUCUUCUUUUCAAAUCACCUUGUUUCUUUUUGAACAAUUCACAAAGUUUUAUUUUUCUAUCAAGUUCAAAAUGUGGGACAGUCUCAUUCUUUUUGAAGUAGUCAUUUUCAGCUUUCAACUUUUUGUUUUGUUGAAAAAGAUUUACAUUAUCUUGAAACAAAAAACUAAUUUUCUGUUUUAACUCCUGUUUUUAGUAUAAGAUUCUUUCAAACUAUCAUGCAAUUUUAUAAUGAAAGAUUCAAGAUCAUCAUUAGUUUCAUCAUUACUUUUAAGUUAAAAGUUAGAAAUUGUUACCUCAUUAUCUUUAAUGGCCUUAAAAGCCAAUUGACCAGAUUCUUCUUCCUCUUCAAUUUCACCAUCGGAGUUGCACUCAUUUCAUGUGAAUUGAAAGUUAUUAAAUCUUGAUUUUCUUCUUUCUUUCUUCUUCUUCAUUGGACACUCACUCAUAUAGUGUCCAAAUUAGUUGUAUUCAAAGCAUUUGUCCACUUGUUUUUAUUGGUCUCUUGUUUUCCUUUGUUCCUUGCAUUGAUGAACUGAUUUGAAAAUGUAUUGCUAGGUUCUCCUCUUCUGAAUCUCCUUUUAUUCAGGAUUCUUUUGAAACUUCUUGUGAUGAGAGUUAGAUCAUCAUCAUCAACAUCCAAAUCUUCUCUAUCCAAUGAAAUCAAAUCAUCUACAUCUUGAGAAGCUUUUAGAGCAAUGCUCUGUUUUACAUUCAUAUCUUCUUCUUCCUGUACUUUGGUCUUAGUUUCAACUCAUAAGAUGUUAAAGAAUUUACAAGAAAUUCAAUAGACAUAGAAUUCAGAUCUCUUGCCUCUUCAAUAACAGUCACUUUACUUGUCCAAUCUUUAGACAGAGCAUAUAAGAUUUUUCUAUUUUUCUCUCCUAAGGUAUAUUUUUUUCCAGGACUUCUAAAUCUUUAAUAAGAUCGUUGAAUCUACAAUACAUUUGAUCAAUAUUUUCAUGACCUUCCAUUUUAAACGACUCAUAGGUAAUCAAAAUAGAUUUCGUCUGUUCUCUAACAUUCUCACUACUUUCAUGAAUUUGUCGCAGUUUGUCCCAAAUUUCUUUAAUUGACUUACAUCUCUUGACUCUAAUAGAUUUAUUUGAGUCUAAAACACAAUAUAACACAUUCAUAACUUUUGCAUUUAAGAUAAGAUGAACUCUAUCAACUGUCAUUUCUAAUUUUUGGUUUUGAUCUAUGAGUAAUAUCAUCUACUAUAGAGGCAUCAUAUAGACCUUAAUUAAUAAUAAACUACAAUUCAAUAUCAAUUGAUUACAAGAACAUAAUCAUUCUUUCUUUCCAAAUCACAUAAUUUGACCCAUUAAAUAUAGGUGGUCUAAUCACAGAUUGUCCUUCCAAAAAUACGAUAUUGUUGAUUGUCAUCUUUACUUCUAAGCCACUUAAGUUUAAUCUCUAGGAGACCAAAUUGUGAUACCAAUUGUAAGAUCCGAAGACAACCUAAAAGGGGGUGAAUUAGGUUGAUUAAAAAACUAAUCAAGUUAUGAGCACUUUUUGCUCAAUAUGAAAUUUACCCUAUUUUCUAAGUGAUCACACAAUGAAUCAAUCAAUGAAUGAACAAUAUCACUUGAGAGAAGUAGAAGAGAUAAACAAUUAAAAGAUCACAACAUAACAAUAAGUAAAUAAGAAGGGAAGAAUUGCAAACCAAUUGACUACCAAACUCCUUUUGAACUUGUAGAUCAAUUCAAAUAAGUUUCUUUAAAUUGAUGAAAUACAAUCAAUCUUGUGUACAAAGGAAGGUUAACUUCCUCCUUACCCCAUUCUCCACUUGGUCAAAUUAAAAAGUUUUACUAUCUCUCAGGAUAACCCUCACAGAGCUACUGUCAGGAACUUAAGACGUAAUUUGUCGUUUUAUUCUUUAGUGCAUGCGUUUCAGUAAUAAAACGAAAUAAGGACUAGGACAUGAAACGGUGCCGUUGGACUAAUUCUGGUAGUUAGUUAGAAUUAGUUAUUCUGUUAGCUCACGUUUGUUUAGUUUCUACUAUUAGCUUCCAUUAUAAAUAGCAAAUAUAAUAGAAGGAAAGAUUAUCAGACUUAAUGCAAUUUGAAUUAUUUUUUCUCUUGUUUUAGCUCUCUCUUCUUUUCCAUCACUUUUCCUUUUCUUCCCCAAUUCUUCCUCUGCCGUUCACUUCCCUUUUCUGUAUCCCACGAGUUCAAACCCAAGAGUCUGACAUUUGGUAUCAGAGCAGCCGAUCCUUGGCUGCAAUUGAUACGAAAAUGGCGGAAAACACUCGGUACCGCACCUUGGAAGAACAUAUCAAGAAGCAAGACAGUCGUUUGCAAGAGGUGGUGGAAUUGAUGGCCAGUAUGCAGGCCUCUUGUCAACAGUAGUUUCAGGAGGAAAUGGAGCAGAAGAGCUCGCGACUGGAAGCACUAGUGGGUAACUUGGAUCAAAGGUUCAACUCGAUUGAGCAGAAGUUCAACAACCUGUUGACUAUGAUGUUGAAGGAAAGAGGCUGCUCGAAGCUGGAAUCGCAAGCUUCAGACCCGUUGCUGCCAAUUCCACCGCCGCACAUGAAGCUCGAAAAUCAGAAUGGAGCGCACGUCUCUCACCAAGAGCUCAAAAGUAAGCAAUUCAACCCUAUCUUGCCAAAAUUGGAAAUGCCUAUGUUUGCUAUGGGUAACCCUAGGGAGUGGCUUAGAAAAUGCCAGAAGUAUUUCCUAAAUUACCAGAUUCCUGAUAGCCAGAGAAUGGAAAUGGUAGAAAUGUUUUUGGAGGGGAAAGCCGACAACUGGUUUCAAUGGGUGAAGCUCGAACGGCCUGGCCUCUCCUGCUUAGAGUUUAGUGACUUACUUUGUGAGAGGUUUGCCUAUAAAACAUCUAGAGAUGUGGUGGAAGAAUUCAAUAAGUUACAACAAAAAGGUACAGUAGAAGAGUAUGAAGAGAAAUUCGAGGAGCUAAAAACUCUUAUAUUACUUAGAAAUCCUAAAUUGGAUGAGUCUUAUUUUGUCUCUAGUUUCAUCAGUGGCUUGAAAGAGGAAAUCAAGCCAAUGGUGAAGAUGUUCAAGCCCAAAAACCUAUCCAAGGCUUUUGAGGUAGCUGAACUGCAAGAAUGCUCCUUAGAAGUGCAAUCGAGAUCACCGCAAAACACUAGUAAAACUGUUUUGGAGUCCAGAUUUGGAAUGUUUAAGGCUCAACCUAACAGUCAAAAGUCUCCCAACUCCUACUGAAUUCCUUCAAUUACUCCAAACUCCAAUAAACAGGAGAACGUGGCUAGAGAGUUUAAUAAAAUUUCUGCAAAAGAAAUACAAUAUAGACGCAAACAUGGCCUGUGCUAUAGGUGUGAGGACAAGUUUGGGGUAGGUCAUCAUUGUAAGCCAAGGAACUUGAACUGCAUUGACCUUGAAGAAGAAAAUGACAUGGAUUUUGAGGAUGCGGAAUGGGAACAAGAUAAAAGUACUGGGAGAGUAGGGGAAGGCUGAGGUUUCACUGAAUGCCUUAAAUGGAGCUAUGAGCAGGAAAUCGAUCAUUUUGCUAGGUAACAUGGGAGGGUUGCCUAUCAAGAUCUUGGUGGAUACUGGAGCCUCCAACAGUUUCAUUCAUUUUGGAUUGGUUAAAUCCUUAUAUUUACCACACCAAGAGGUUAAUCCUUUCACAGUAACCUUAGCUGAUGGUACUGAUAUUACUAGUGGUGCAGUGUGUCCAAGGGUAAGUUGAUUAAUACAAGACUAUCAGUUUCAGUUUGACCUGAAGGUGAUGGAUUUAGGGAAUUAGAAUAUUAUAUUAGGAGUGGAUUGGAUGUACCAAUUCAAUCCCAUUAUUUUUUACUUUCACAGUCUCAGCAUUGCUCUCAGUAGUAGUGGAAGUUUGCUACAUCUACAAGGAGUUAUCAGCCAACCUGUGAUGGAACUGGUACGAGGGAAGGACCUCAGAUCCUUCAUACAAGAGAAGCAAAGAAAUUGUGCUGCUAUACAGGCCGAAUCAUAGAACUACCAGCCAGGAGAUAUCCCAAAGCAGGUAGAAAGGAUACUACAACAGUUUCCACAAGUUUUUGCUGAUCCACAGGGUCUACCCCCAUAAAGAGAGUUGGAUCACCAAAUUACUCUCAAACCUGAAGCAGAACCCUUCAAAUUAAAGCCUUACAGGUACCCUCAUGCCCAUAAAACUGAGAUUGAGAAGCAAGUUGCUGAGAUGCUUUCUAGUGGCAUUGUCUCCUACAGUAGUAGUCCUUUUGCCUCUCCUGUUUUGCUGGUUAAAAAGAAAGACAACUCAUGCAGAUUAUGUGUAGAUUACUGCAAGCUAAAUGAGCUAAAAGAAUAACUAAUUCUAACUAACUACCAGAAUUAGUCCAACGGCACCGUUUCUUGUCCUAGUCCUUAUUUCGUUUUAUCACUGAAACACAUACACUAAAGAAUAAAACAACAAAUGAGCUGAUUGUUAAGGACAGGUUUCCCAUACCAAACAUUGAUGAGCUAUUGAAUGAGUUGCAUAGAACUAAAUACAUGUCUAAGCUGGACCUUAGGGUUGGUUAUCACCAACUAAGGGUUAAGGCAGUUGAUACAUAUAAAACCGCCUUCCAGAUGCACCAUGGUCACUUCGAAUUUUUAAUGAUGCCAUUCGGGUUAACAAACGCUCCAACUACAUUCCAGGCCUUGAUGAACCGAAUUUUUCAACCAUAUAUGAGGAAAUUUGUGUUAGUAUUUUUUGACGAUAUCUUAGUAUAUAGUCCCACCCUUGAAAUGCACAUCCAGCAUCUGCGAACCAUCAUUGGGGUCCUGGCUGACAACCAGCUAUUCUGCAAGAAAUCUAAGUGUUCAUUUGCCCAAACUUCCGUGGAAUAUUUGGGGCAUGUGAUAUCUGAAAAAGGAGUGAGCGUGGACCAGUCUAAGGUGGAAUGCAUACUCUCACGGCUUUCUCCCAAGACAGUGAAGGAAUUGAGAGGAUUUCUACGGUUAACGGGAUACUACAGGAUGUUCAUUAAAGGCUAUGGGGUGAUCAGUAAACCCUUAACUCAACUGCUGAAGAAGGAGGGGUUUACAUGGUGUUCUGAAGCUCAGAUAGCCUUUGAAGAUCUCAGGAAGGCCAUGACCACGGCCCUGGUAUUGAGCAUGCCCAACUUUGAGAUUCCAUUCGUCAUCGAGACUGAUGCAUGUGGAGUGGGUAUUGGUGCAGUUUUGAUGCAACAAGGACAUCCCAUAGCCUUUCUUAGCAAGGCUCUCGCAAACCAGAAUUUGGGGAUGUCGGUGUACGAAAAGGAGCUCUUUGCAUUGGUGCUAGCCGUCACUAAAUGGAAACAUUAUCUAGUCGACCAUCACUUCGUCAUCCGCACAGAUCAUCAGGCCUCAAAUACCUACUUGAAUAGCGGCUCACUCAUCCAUUGCAGUACAAAUGACUGACCAAGUUGUUAGGCUUGGAUUACAAGAUCCAAUACAAGAAGGGCAUUGACAAUGGUGUAGUUGACGCGUUAUCUAGAAGGAGGGUAAGUGAAAUCAGUGAGGAAUGCACCAACCAGUGUGGUACUGUGAGUGCUAUCUCGUCAAUGCAGCCGGCAUGGGUACAGGAGUUAUUAGAUAGUUAUGUAGGUGAUGCUAUGGCCCAGGAACUUAUUUCCCAACUACUGCUGGAUCCUUCUUCCAACUCAAAUUAUCAAUUGGACAAGGGAUUGUUGAAGUGCAAAGGCAAAUUGUAUGUGGGGACUUCUAAAGGGAUCAAGGGUAACAUUAUCAAGGCACUGCAUGCCUCUGCUAUUGAGGGACAUUCCGGUCCAAGGGGGUGUCUACAAAAGAUGCAAGCACUGUUUCACUGGCCCGGAAUCAAGAGGGAUGUCAUACAGUUUGUGAGAUCGUGUGACGUAUACCAAAGAAGUAAGCACGAAAAUGUCCCUUACCCCAGGCUGCUACAGCCACUUCCAGUUCCUCAGCAUGCUUGGUCUCAAAUAACCAUGGACUUUAUUGAGCAGUUGCCGUUAUCUCAUGGGUUUGAUACUAUCUUCGUGGUAGUAAACCGUUUCAUUAAAUUCAGCUAUUUUAUGCGUCUCUCUCAUCCUUAUUCAGCUAAACAGGUAGCUAUGGUUUUCCUUGAUAAUGCGUAUAAACUCCAUGGUCUCCCUGAGGUUAUAAUUUCGGAUUGGGACAGGGUGUUUCUAAGUGGGUUCUGGCAGAAAAUGUUUAAGAUGUUGGGGACUAAACUCCACUACAGCUCUUCAUAUCAUCCACAGUCCGACGGGCAGAGCGAGAGAGUUAACCAAUGCCUGGAAAUGUGCCUAAGAUGCAUGUGUAGUGAGCAUCCAACCCAGUGGAGUGUAUGGUUAUCUACGGCGAAGCAUUGGUACAACACCAACUUCCAUACCAAUUUGCAACUAUCCCCCUUUAAGGCAUUAUGUGGAUAUAAGCCGACUCCUAUUCCUUUGGGACCCUUCCAUGACAUUGUAAUACCAGCUGCAGCUGAUAUGGUACAAAACAGAUUACAAAUCACGUUGCAAAUCAAAGAGAAUUUAGCUAAGGCUCAGAACCGAAUGAAACACUAUGCUGAUCAACACAGGACAGAAAGAACUUUACAGGUGGGAGACUGGGUUUACCUUAAGUUACAGCCUUAUAGGCCGCAAACUGUGGCCAUCAGAAGGAGCUUAAAGCUAUCGGCCAAGUAUUAUAGACCUUUCCAAAUUAUUGAGAAGGUAGGGGCUGUAGCCUAUAAGCUACGAUUACCACCUGGAGCUAGAGUUCAUCCGGUGUUUCACGUCUCACUUCUUAAGAAGCAGAUUGGUGGCAGUCAACUUAUUGAAGCAGUCUUGCCAGAGUUGGAUUCCUCAUAUCAGUAUUUGCUGCAACCUGAGUAGGUGCUUAAACGCACGGUUGUCAUGCGGGAUUCGCAACCAGUUAUACAAUAUCUUGUCAAGUGGAAUCAUUUGCCGACUCGGAGGCCUCUUGGGAGGAUAAAAAUUUCAUUGAUAAAAUGUUUCCAGAUUUUAAAGCUUGAGGACAAGCUUUCUUUAUGAAGAGGAGAUUGUCAGGAACUUAAGAUGUAAUUUGUCAUUUUAUUCUUUAGUGUAUGCGUUUCAGUGAUAAAACGAAAUAAGGACUAGGACAUGAAACGGUGCCAUCGGACUAAUUCUGGUAGUUAGUUAGAAUUAGUUAUUCUGUUAGCUCAUGUUUGUUUAGUUUCUACUAUUAGCUUCCAUUAUAAAUAGCAAAUGUAAAAGGAAAGAUUAUCAGACUUAAUACAAUUUGAAUUACUUCCUCUCUCUUGUUUUAGCUCUCUCUUCUUUUCCAUCACUUUUCCUUUUCUUCCCCAAUUCUUCCUCUGCCGUUCACUUCCCUUCUCUGUAUCCCACGAGCUCAAACCCAGGAGUCUGAUAGCUACACUAUUGAAAUAUUCACUCACAAAUGAAAAACUUACAACGAAUAUCACACCACUAAAACUACAAAUUUUUUUUGAAAAGUAUUUUCUCACUAAAAAUCGCUCUAGAUCUUUUGUAUCUUCAGUAUGUAAAAAUUAUUUGAAGUUUUGGACCAUGCUCUAUUUAUAGGAGACCAAGAAAGUGCUUCAUUAAUACUUCCAACGAAUAGAAAGUAACUGAAGAGUCAACUAGUCGUUGGGAGUGUCGGACGUCCGGUACUCCUGUUUUUUGCAUCUGACAGCAGGCAGUGAGUUUGAAAAUUUUUCUUCAAUUCUAUCAGACAUCCGGUAUUGUCUUUGUGAGCAUCCGACAGCUUUCGUCGAGUUUGAAGGAAGACAAAGAGUUUGAAAAAUUCUAUCAGACGUCCAAUACUUGUGUCCGAUCGAGAUCAAUGAGUUACGGGGAAUGUCUUAUUUCCUUCAGACGUCCGGUGAUGGAGUUCUUCAUGCGUCCGAAGUUGCGCAGUGAUUAUCGGACGUCCAAUCCUGUCUUCAUAAGCGUCCAACAGCUUUCAGUAACUUUUGUUUCUUUCAAUUGCACUUGAUCUUUGAAUCUAAUUUGGUUCAUAACUAAAAGUAUAUCUUGAAGGAAUAUUAGUAUCAUCCAUUUAUUUGUAAAUAUCAAAAGUUAGGGAAUAAAAUCAACAUUCUCCCUCUUUUUGAUGAUAACAAAACAAUGAAUGGAAGAAAGAAAAAAAAGUUCAGCAUAAGCUCCCCCUCACUUAUUGCAUCCCAAAUUUUUAAGGGCCAAAUUUAUAAUCUCAGAAAAACUCCCCCAUACACAUAGCAUCAAUUUCUCCCCCUUUUUAUCAUCAUAAGAUGAAGGUAAAAAUCAGCAACCAUAAUCCAGCAACAAUAAUAGAGAAUCCAAUAUUCCAAACAAAAACAAAAAAAAUGAUACCAAAAUUCAGCAAUUAUCGUCAAAAAAUUGAUACCAAACAGAGAAAUAACAAUCAAAAUACUUAUCAAAGAAAACCAUCAUUAGAUUAAUAUUAUUCUUUUCUCUCCCUUUUUUUGUCAUCGUAAAAAUUCAGUAUUAUCCAAAAAUAUCAAGAAAAACUCAGUUAAAGCAUUAGAAAUAUCCAAAGAAAAUUACAAAAGAACAUUAUGAAAAAUAAUCUCACCAAUCUAACCAAUAUCUCCUAUUCCAAUUGAUUUAGUUUUCAUGUCAUCUCCAAAUAUCACUUGCCACAAGACUUUGACUAGAGUUUUGAUGAAUUGUGAUGGAUCACCGGUCAUGUGUCUUAAACAUUCACAGUUUAUGAACUACUUGGAUUCCUUAAUAAUAUUCACCAAAUUCACCUAUUCAAGAGUUCAAGAACUAAUAUAUAGUACCCAAAAACUUUUGGGUACUUGAGAGUUAGCAUCAUGUCUAACUAUCCACACGCAUUUCAUGUCAUUUUUCAUAUUUUUCCUUGCAUAGAAAUUAUUCUUCAUGUAACCAACUUGACAACAGAAACAACACAUAGUCAGGGAAUUGCUUACAUAAGCAGGUUUAACAAAUCUGACUUGUCUUCUUCUAUAAAUGAUAAAUUCGUUUGCAUUAGAAUUCAACCUUUUUUUAUGAAUGUCAAAGUGAGGUUUUGGUUCAUUCCUUUGAAAAUAGACUUAUUUUUUAUGUUGGAACAAAUCAUUUAAAUCAUCCAUUUUUUUUUCAAAUCACCUUGUUUCUUUUUGAAUAAAAAAUUUUAUUUUUCUAUCAAGUUCAAAAUGUGGGACAGUCUUAUUCUUUUUGAAAUAGUCAUUUUCAGCUUUCAACUUUUUGUUUUGUUGAAAAAGAUUUGCAUUAUUUUGAAACAAAAAAUUAAUUUUCUGUUUUAACUCCUGUUCUAGUAUAAGAUUCUUUCAAACUAUCAUGCAAUUUUAUAAUGAAAGAUUCAAGAUCAUCAUUAGUUUCAUCAUUACUUUUAAGUUGAGAGUUAGAAAUUGUUACCUCAUUAUCUUUAAUGGCCUUAAAAGCCAAUUGAUCAGAUUCUUCUUCCUCUUCAAUUUCACCAUCAGAGUUGCACUCAUUCCAUGUGAAUUGAAAGUUGUUAAAUCUUGAUUUUCUUCCUUCUUUCUUCUUCUUCAUUGGACACUCACUCAUAUAGUAUCCAAGUUAACUGCAUUCAAACAUUUGUCCGCUUGUUUUUAUUGGUCUCUUGUUUUCCUUUGUUCCUUGCAUUGAUGAACUGAUUUGAAAAUGUAUUGCUAGGUUCUCCUUUUCUAAAUCUCCUUUUGUUCAGGAUUGUUUUGAAACUUCUUGUGAUGAGAGAUAGAUCAUCUACAUCUUGAAUGCUUUUAGAGCAAUACUCUGUUUUACCUUCGUAUCUUCUUCUUUCUGUACUUUGGUGUUAAGUUUCAACUCAUAAGAUGUUAGAGAAUUUAUAAGAGAUUCAAUAGAUAUAGAAUUCAGAUCUCUUAUCUCUUCAAUAACAGUCAAUUUACUUUUCCAAUCUUUAGACAAAGCAUACAAGAUUUUUCUAUUUUUCUCUCAUAAGGUAUAUUCUUUUUUCAGAACUUCUAAAUCUUUAAUAAGAUCAUUGAAUUUAAAAUACAUUUGAUUAAUAUUUUCAUGAGCUUCCAUCUUAAACGACUCAUAGGUAAUCAAAAUAGAUUUUUUCUGUUCUCUAACAUUCUCACAACUUUCAUGAAUUUGUCACAGUUUGUUCCAAAUUUCUUUAGCUGACUUACAUCCCUUGACUCUAAUAGAUUCAUUUGAGUCUAAAGUACAAUAUAACACAUUCAUAACUUUUGCAUUUAAAGUGAGAUGAUCUUUAUCAACUGCAGUCAAUUCAUUUCUAGUUUUUUAUCUUGGUUUAUGAGUAAUAUCAUCUACUAUAGAGGCAUCAUGUGAACCUUAAUUAACAAUAAAUCACAAUUCAAUAUCAAUCGAUUGCAAGAAAAUAAUCAUUCUUUCUUUCUAACUCACAUAAUUCGACUCAUUAAACAUAGGUGGUCUAAUCACAGAUUGUCCUUUCAAAAACGUGACAUUGUUAAUUGUCAUCUUUACUCCUAAGCUGCUUGCGUUUAAUCUCUAGGAGACCAAGUUCUGAUAUCAAUUGUAAGGUUCGAAGAUAACCCAAAAGAGGGUGAAUUAGGUUGAUUAAGAAACUAAUCAAGUUAUGGACACUUUUUGCUCAAUAUGAAAUUUACCCUCUUUUCUAAGUGAUCACACAAUAAAUCAAUCAAUGAAUGAACAAUAUCACUUGAGAGAAGUAGAAAAGAUAAACAAUUUAAGGAUCACAACAUAGCAAUACGUAAAUAAGAAGGAAAAAAUUGCAAACCAAUUGACUGCCAAACUCCUCUUGAACUUGUAAAUCAAUUCAAACAAAGUUCUUCAAAUUAACGAAAUACAACCAAUCUUGUGUACAAAGAAAUGUUCACUUCCUCCUUAUCCCAAUUUUCACUUGAUCAAACUAAAAAGUUUUACUAUCUCUCAGGACAACCCUCACAGAAUUACACUAUUGAAGUAUUCACUCACAAAUGAAAAGUUUACAAUGAACUUCACACCACCAAAACUAUAAAUCUUUCUUAAAGAGUAUUUUCUCACUAAAAAUUACUUUAGAUCUUUUAUAUCUUCAGUGUGCAAAAGUUAUUUGAAAUUUCUGACCAUGCUCUAUUUAUAAGAGACCAAAAAAGUGCUUCAUUAAUACUUCCAACGGAUAAAAAGUAGUUGAAGAGUCAACUAGCCAUUGGGAGUGUCGGACGUCCGGUACUCCUAUUUUUUGCGUCCGACAGCAGGCAGUGAGUUUGAGAAAUUUUCUUCAAUUCUAUCGGAUGUCUGGUAUUGUCUUUGUGAGCAUCUGACAGCUUUCGUCGAGUGUGAAGGAUCUAUCGAACGUCCAAUACUUCCAUUUGAUUGCAGACAAAGAGUUUGAAAGAUUCUAUUGGACGUCCGAUGCUUGCGUCCGAUCGAAAUCAGUGAGUUAAGGGAAUGUCUUAUUUCCUUCGGACGUCCGAUGACGGAGUUCUUCAUGCGUCCGAAAUUGCGCAAUGAUUAUCGGACCUCCGAUCCUAUCUUCACAAGCAUCCGACAAUUUUCAGCAACUUUUGUUUCUUUCAAUUGCACUUGAUCUUUGAAUCUAAUUUGCUUAAUAACUGAAAGUAUAUCUUGAAGGGAUAUUAGUAUCAUCUAUUUGUUUUGUAAACAUCAAAAGUUAGGCAACAGGGGAAGAAAAACUCCUUCUUCAACUACAAAUCUUGCUCCAAAAUUCUCCCCAAAAAUUUUCACACCUUUGGAAGUUGUUCAAACUUAAAAAAAUGCCUUGUCCUGUGGUGGUUCUUGGUAGAUUUGGUGAUGCAAAGUUUGGACUUAACUAUGGUUGAAGAAACUUGGAAGGGGUAACUAGCUCCACUCUACUUGAUCUUUAAUUUUAUGCAAGAUUUGGUAGUAGAUGUGGGUUGCUAUGAAAGGGUAUUUGGAACCCUAAAAAUUUAGGAUAAAUGACUUGAGGAUCUUUCAUAUUUUGUUAUGCAGUCUAUGGUAGAUUUUAAUGCUAAAGGACUUGAUAUAUGUUGGUUUGUGUUUAUUGUGGAAAUCUCAUGCAUUGGAUGAAUUUUAAAUGUGAUUGGUUGAAGGACAAGAUUCCAGAAAUUUUCUCUAUGCAAUGGCUGACCUGACUAGUUAGUUUCCAGCCUUGAUUUUCAAAUUUUUUGGGUGAAAUCUAACUCAAUAACCUUUGUUAGAUAUUAAGCUAUGGAUGUGUGAAUAGGUUGAGUAAAAAUUUGGACUUAAGAAGUCAAGAGAGAGAGAUGCACACUGCCCUAUUUUCUGAAAAAUUCUCACAGGUGUGACUAACCCAUCUUAGAAAAAUAUUGAUAUCUUGGUAUAAAAAAAAUUUAAAUCAAGUUCUGUUUAUUGUGUUUAAAACUAGAUUCAGAGUACUUUCUACCGAUCAAAUUUCAUAAUUUUUCUCAACUCUUAUGAAUAUUAAUGAUUUUUCAAAGUUGACUGCAAUUCAAAACCUGAUGUGCUCUUAAACUUGGUGGAGCUGUAACUUGAGGCCAAAAUUUGACCUACUUGUGGAUUGAAUCUUACAAAAGUUCUUCAAGACAAUUGUAUUUCUUUGAAUCUGGUUUCCAACGGUAUAAGGUUUUCAAUUUUUGGACUUACAAAACUCAAGAUAUGAUUUUUCAAGUAGCGCCUCGCAAAGCUACAUUUCUGGUUUAAAACAAAAUAUUCUUUUAAGAACUUCCAAAUUUCCUUUGAGAUGGUUAGUUCAUUUUAAGUUUGAUUUCAUGUAUGGAUACAAGGUCUCUUGUGACUUUAAACCUUCGUUUUGAAUCUGGAUUUUCAAAGGAUUUAAACCUCUCUUGAUGUAUUGUCUUAGUUGAUUAGGCAAAUGAAUUUUUCUCCUUGUGUGUUAAGUAACUUAGGAUGUACGUGAGUCAUGGUUUAAGGGGGGGAUUGUCCUAAGAUGGUUUGUAUUUAGUGAUGGUUGGUUGAUAUUGUUUCAGGUGUCCAAGAGAUUUCGAAAGGAAUUCCGGCAUGGAACAGUAAACAGCUUGCUUGCUCGUUUGCUUUUGAUUUUGGUGAGUGUCAAGUGCAUGUCUUAUUGCACACUAAUUUUGAUGAUACUUGUUGAUUGUGCUAAUUAAACUUGUUGAGACGAGUGUGUACUUUAUCUCACUCGUCUUCUCCUGUUUGAUUUGAUAAUUUACUUGCUCGUACUUGACAAAUAUACUUGUGCUUGUGCUUGACUUGGCGUUGAUUUGAUAGCAAUCUCAUCGACUUAUACUUGAUCUUAGGGGCCCCAAAACCCAAUGGCUAGCCAUUCAAUUCAAGCCAGCAAGGGUUUGGUUGAGGAGUUUGGUGAACUUUGUGCUUGUGUACUUGACUUGUUUGGAUAUACCCGAGUAAUACCAUAUCUUGUUUGACGUGCGGGCCCGCCAGGGGGUGUAACGAUGGACAAAAAUUGAUAAAAAGUGGGAUUCUACGGACUUGUUAUUUACUUGGGUGACGGAGUGUCAACAUUUGGAAAUCAUGAUUCAAAAAGUAUCGGUGUAGCUUGAAUUGUGGAUUUAAAUCCUGAGAGCUCCUAUAUCCUUUAGUGAUUAUGCUUUUAUUUUCUCUUGUGAAUUUUACGUAAAAUAUUAUGGCUGUCCUUCUUGAUUUAUAUAUUCUUAAUGCUAAUUGUACUCGUUUGUUUGCCUGUUUUUCUUAAUUUUACUAAGCGUUAGUUCACCCCUUUAAGUUUGAUUUCCUUAACAAGAUCUUGAAGUGGAGAGAUUUGUUUGAAGACGCUGGCUUUGAUUAUAUUUUGAACUAGUUAUGGAUGUAAAUGAUUUAACUGAUCUUUUGGUAGAUGUAUUUUUGGGACGCUUGAUGUAAUUUUUGGAAAUAUUAUGGUGUAGAAUUGAACGACUUUUGAAGGAAGCGAAUUCUUUUUUAUAUUAGUAUCUUCUUGGUUGAGUAGUUCUAAAUUAUAAAUUUGGCUUGUAGUGAGUCCUAACGAGAGUUAGGCAAGCGACUCGCCGAAACCCUAAGGAGAAGUGGGGUCGUCACACUUCUCCCCCUCAUCAUCAAGUUUUUUUCUUAAUUGAUCAGGAAUGUAGGAAUAGGCAAUACAUCCAAAAACUCUGAGAUGACCAAAAAAUGGUUUUCUACCACUCCAAACUUCUUUAGGAGUUUUUCGGGGAACACUUCUGGUAGGACACCUGUUUAACAGAUAAAUUGCAUAAAAAAUUGCUUCUGCCCAAAAAGGUAUUUGGCAUAUUUUUCACCUCAAUAUACACCUCACCAUAUCCAUAAUUGUCAUAUUCUUCCUCUCUGCCACUUCAUUUUGUUGGGGAGUGUACCUGGUAGUCAACUAAUGUUGUAUCCCAUUUUUCUGAAAAAAAUCAUCACACACCAAAUAUUCCUGACCACUAUCUGUUCUCAAAAUUUUAAUCUGACGCCCACUCUGCCUCUCAACAAAAGUUUUAAAAAUUUAAAAAGUGUCACAGGUAUCAGAUUUUUGUUUGAAAAAAUAUACCUAGGCUUUUCUACUAAAAUCAUCAAUAAAGGUAAUAAAAUACCUGCAACCACCAUCAGAAGGAACCUCCACAAUGCAUAAAUUUGAAUGAAUAAUUUCUAAUGAUCUUCUGGCCCUCCAUGAUUUACCAGUAUGAAAAGUAUCCCUAUGUUGUUUUCCCAAAAUGAAUAUAUCACAAACUCUACCAGGAUUUCUAAUAUUAGGCAAUCCACCAACCAUUCUUUUAUUUGUCAAAAAUUUCAAAUUGUCAAAAGUCAAAUGACCAAAUCGCAUAUGCCACAACCAAUUACUGUCAUCUUUCACUGUACUCAAACAAGAAAAUUGGCACUACUCAAAUUUAGUGGAAAUAAGCGAUUUGAAAUCAUUGGUACAUUGGCAAUCAUUCCAAUAUUUUUAUCAAAAAUAGUACAAUACCAUUCCUGAUACAAAUAUCAUUUUUUUUCUCAGACAACUGGCUCAUACUCAACAAAUUUUGAUGCAACCCAGGAACAUAGAAAACAUCAGAAAUAAAUUAGUAGAUCCAUUUUUCAGGCUAAUAGGAAUUUUUUCCUUAGCAAUCAUUGGUAAAACAAUGUUAUUUUCAAAUUUAACUUCACCACAAAUAGAUUCAUCAAGUUCAACAAAUAAUUCCUUCUUGCCAGACAUAUGGUUACUACAAUCCGUAUCCAAAUACCAUUUAUUUUUAUCAACCACAUCAACAACAAUACAGACUAAUAAUAAAGUAUCAGAUUUUUUAUUAUUAUCCUGCACCUGAUUGUCAACAACAUUAGCCUGAAAAUUUCUGUCUAUAUUUUCUCCAAAUCUACAUUCAAAUUGUCUAUGACCUAAUUUUCCACAAUUAUAACAUUGAACUCUCUGUCUAAAAUUAUUCUGAUUAAAAUUAUUUCCUAUGCCAAAAUUACCACCUCUGCCUCUACCAGGACCACCUCUAAAAUUGAAAUUAUUAUCUCUAUUGCGUCCAGAAUUUGAUAUACUUCCUCGAUCUCUAUUAUUAUUGCCACGACCACCUCUGUUAUUGUAACCACUUCUGCUCUUCUGACUGAAUUCGCCAUGCUCCCUGACAUCAUUAUUGCCUCUCAAAUUCAACUGCACCUGCAACGCCUUCUCUACUGUAUCCUUCUCCGGGGCAUCCUCCAAUUUUUCAUUAAUUCUUUGUUCAUGCAGAAUUAAUGAUCCAUGCAAAUCUUCUAUAUUCAAAUCCUCCAAAUCUUUCGUUUCCUGAAUUACAGAUACCACAUGAUCAAAUUUCAUGGGUAGGGUAUUGAGAACUUUCUCAACAAAUGAUCUAUCAGGAAAAUUAUACUGAUUGAGUUUCAUCUCGUUUUUAAUAUCUGACAACCCAAAAAAAUAGGACUCAAUAGAUUCGGACUUCUCCAUCGUCACAAGUUCAAAUUUCCUCUUCAACAUCAUUAAAUUAUUUUGUUGGACCUUGUCAAUCCCUUUGUAUGUUUUCUCCAAUAUAUCCCAAGCCUCCUUUGCCAUAUCAGCCGUAGCAAUUUUUUCAAAAACUGACAUAUCACUUGCCUGAUGAAUUUGUGAUAAAGCCAAUCUGUCUUUUGUCUUAUCAUCCUCACUAGCAUCUUGGACAAGUGCAGAUUUAAUAUAUUGAUGUAAUUUACAUGCCUUGAGAUGGGUUACCAUUUGUUUCUGCCAAAAAUUAAACUUUGCUGUUGUUUUGAAUUUUUGGACAGAACAAAUAAUAUUGGGGUUAGGGUUUGCCAUACUUCAAUCUACCGUAACUCUGGUACCACUUUGAUGGACCCAAAUUAAUAACAAAUUAUAAACCCACAGAAAAAUAUUCAAGAACAACGAAAGAGAGGCAAAGAGAAAUUUUUCUCAACUAUUCACGUGGCGCGAUUGCGUGGCUUUUCUUUUACACACCCUAACAAAUGCUUCUAAGGAUGGCAGCCACCCGCCCCGCAGGGGGCUAAUAGGCAUGGCCACCCGUCUUUAAAAAAUUUCCCCCGCUUUAAAAAAUAAAUAUAUAAAAAAUAUAUAAUUAUAUAUAAAAAAUAUAUAAUUAUAUAUAAUUAUACAUAAAAAAUAUAUAAUUACAUACUUCAAUCUACUGUAGUUCUGGUACCACUCUGAUGGACCCAAAUUAAUAACAAAUUAUAAACCCACAGAACAAUAUUCAAGAACAACAAAAGAGAGGCAAAGAGAAAUUUUUCUCAACUAUUCACGCGGUGCGACUGCGUGGCUUUUCUUUUACACACUCUAACAAAUGCUUCUAAUGGGGUAGGGGCAGGGGGAAAAAAUUUUCCCCCGCUUUAAAAAAUAAAUAUAUAAAAAAUAUAUAUGUAUAUAAUUAUAUAUAUGAUAUAUAUAAUUCAAUUAAUUAUAAACUUAUGAAAAUGAUAUUAUUAGUUAUAUGUAUUAUAUAAUGUAUAUUAGCAUAUGUAAUAUAAUUGAUAUUAUCAAUUAUACUAAUAAUUAUAUAUGUGUACUAAUACAAAUUAUUAAUUGGUUAUACUAAAUUUACUAAUAUAUUUACACUAAAUCCCUAAUUACACUUAAUACAAUAGCAUUUUUUCUCAAAAAAAAGCACAAACACAAUAAUGAAUUAGUGAUUGUAUUUGUGCCAAAAGUGAAAACUUGACUACUUUAGUUGUAUUUUAUUUCAUCAUGUUGGAUUGUAUUCAUAUAAUUUUUGUUUGAUUAUUUUUAUAAGUUUCAAUUGUGAAAUUAUAAUGAAUUAUAAUUUAGUGAUAUGUUGAUAUUUUGAUACUUGAUUAUUUGUUAAAAUUUAACUAUAAUAAAUUUUUAUUACCCCGCGAGUGGAAGCGGGGUAAGGGAAUUUGUAGGCAGUCCCCCGCCCCAACCCCGCCUGUUGCCAACCUUAGAUGCUUUUGACACCCCUUUCACAAUUGACGUAGAGGCUAUAUCUAAUACACCCCUUGUGCCUUAUACAAUUACUAGUGCUAUACCUUAAUGGAAGUAAUCUCGUGUGACUUCGUCUAUAAAACUAACAAUGCUACUAACAUCAUUAACUAAUAAGCUAAUACCAUAUGGCCAGCAAAUAAGUCUAACCAAUAAAUUUGGUUUAAUGUUCUACAAGUUUUAAUGUGUUUCUUUUUUUGUUAAUUUUCUCUUCAAAAAACUUGACGGAGUGACAAUAUUAUUAUUUCUGUUUUCUAUUUUUGAGUUUUUUCGGCGGCCAAAACAACAUCGUCCUUUGUAAGCUCGUUGUGGCUUACUUUUCAUCGUCCAUUUGGCAAAUUAAUCUCAUCUAUUGAAUUGUAUAAAAUAGAAAGUGAGCCAAAUUGUGAAGACCCGGAUCCGUCUCUGUGGGUUUUUGACUCGUUUAGAUAGACACAAAAUGCCUUGCCACGCCUUCCAAUCCCCAAUACAUUGUUGAAUAUACCCACCACCACCAACGAAAUUUUGAUAACCAGUUUGCUUGUUUAUAUCACGGAAUGAAGAAAAGCCUUCCCGAUAUAUUGACAAUUUAAAUUGAUUAAGAAUAACCAUAAAGCUGACCAAUGGUGGACAUAACAUGAACAACCUGUCUUUUUUAAAGUCAGAAAUGGUUGACCAGCUUUUGCUUUACCGUGAACCUUUUCUAGCCGGUGAAUCUAUUAUGGACCAUUGGAUCAGUUCAAUAUAAUCGGAGGGUGAUUAUGAUGGUGAUCUAGAAUAGUUGACCAAGACUUUUACUACCUCUCGAGAACAUCAAAUUGUUGAAUCUCCGUUGAAUUUUCGCCAUGUGGAAUUAAUACUCCACAAGUCGUGCAAUUAGCUGAUCGCAAUUAAUGAUGAGAAAAUACGGCCUCAUUUGUAAAAGUAGUCAACUCAGAGAUGAAUAACGUGGGUUUUACUUUUGCUUUUACGUGACCAACCGAGUUGACUGGCUGAGUCGUCACUCGGUUUCGUAUGUGUUUGGAUGUAGAAAUUGUAAACAUUUAUUGCCUAGUCACAAUUGAAAAAUCUUAAGCUAAACACAUACAAUUUAUAUGACAUAUAAAAAUUAAAAGAUGAUUCACCUGUUUAAGAAUUCUUAUAUUUGUAUAUAUCAUUUAGAUAUAAAAUGUUUUUGAAAUUAUUUUUAAUUGGUGAAAUCAUCUCGAUUUAUUAUUAGGGUAAAAUACAGAAAACCUUCUUUUGAUUUGACUAUUUAACACGCUACCUCCUCAUUAUUUAAAAACACUCACACUACCCCCUCGUGCUUUGGACUAAAGUGAAAUUUGACCGAUAACCUAUAUGUUACCUGCAAGUGAUGCAUUAUUUUUUUUAAUAUUUUUUAUUUUAUUGUCAUUUUUUCUUUCAAUUUUGAUGCUUUGACUUAACUAUCAUAAGUAUUUUUACAAAUUUGAGAAAUUAGUGAUGCACUUUUAAAAUUUUCUAAAAAUUAUUCAUAUCGUCUUACUAUUGGACGCGGGGCUGGAGUGGUUGUCAGAACAACCGCUCCGGAAGGUGUAACACCAUUUGCACAUGGUGUAACAUCAUCUGUACAAGGUGUAACAAUAGAACAACAACGAGUAACAUUAGAACAACAUUUUUAUGGAUCCCACACGGCGUGAAAAUCGAGUUACAAGAUGUGAUCUGAGUAGCACAAAUUUUUUAGGCCUCAUCCAGGCCGUGAACUGCUUGGGACGGUUGUCAGAGACAACCGCCCAGGCCCCUCGUCCCUUACUUUUUUGCUCUGUUGUCUCUCUCUAUUGACGUCAGUCACCACCACCUGCAGCUUUGUCUCCUAAGAUUCUUCCAAAAACAAUGCCCCCAAAAUCCAAAUUCACCCAAAUAUCCAAGAAAAAAUUUCAUGAAUUUCAUAAGCUUCCAUCAUAAAAUUCUUGAAAAAGUAGACAAAUCAGAUGAGUGAAAAUGGCAUCCCUCUUCAUUUUUCGUUUUUUGUCCCAUAAUCCGUUAACCGCCAAAUGAUCCACAAGAAAGACAGCAGGAAUCAAACCUAGUUAACCAGUUUUGAAAGCCAUUAAAAGAAAUCAAAUUCAAGGUAAUUAUCAGAAUUUUGCUGAAAGGGCAUAGCUCCAGGAGCAGGCUUUUCACCAGUUGACGCUGUUGGGACUGGAAUCUUCUCAAUCUCGAAUGGCCUUGGGAUCUCUGGAGGGCUUGCACAACGAAUCAGAGCCCAAUUUACACCUUCAAAGAAGGGAUGCUGCUUAAUUUCAGUUGCCCCACGUUGGUAUCCCAACCUAUGUUGUGGCUCUUUUACUAGCAACCCUCUUAUAAGAUCUCUAGCUGAAAAACUGAUGACAGGAGACUCUGGAAAUCGAAGGGGCUGCCCGACAACAUUGAAUAAAGUCGCUCGAUUCCCAGUUCUGGUGGAGGGGAUGAUGUUGAGAAGUGGUGGAGGGGGAAGGGAAGCAGGAGAGAUGAGGAAAAAGAAAGAAAAGUUGAAAAUGAAAAAAAAAAGGAGAAAGAAUAAAAAAAUAAGCAGAUGCUAAGACCACCUUGCUUCGAUAUUGUGAGUUGUGGAGAAUGUGUAAUGGAGGAAGAAGGAGAGGAAUAAUAGAAAAGAAAAGGAAAAAAGAGGAAAGGAAAGGAAAAUAAAAGAAAAAAGAAAAAAAUUAAUAAUAGACAAGGUUCCGGUUCACACAGGUCAAAAAACGUAAUUCUACUCUAGUCCAAACCACGAGGGGAUAGCGUGAAUAUUUUUAAAUAAUGAAAAAGUAACGUGUCAAAUAGUCAAACCAUAAGAAGGUUUUUUGUAUUUUAUCCUUAUUAUUAAGAUCCUCCGAUUUUAUAAUUUCAAAUGCUUUAAAAAUGAGCUAUUUUGAUAUGUCUACACUUCUAUGUUUAGAUUUUAGUUUUUCCAAUAAAAAUUUAAAACCUAAGGUACUAUUGCUAAUUCUAAUUAAUUUUUUAACAAAAUAUAAAUCAAUCGAGAACAUAUUUGAAAAUUACGAGCUAAAGUUGCGUAUAGUAUUUUUUACGAAUUAUUCUUUACUUUUUGUCCGGCACCACAUGGUAUUUUUUUGAUUAAUUACAUCUGCUUCCCUUAAAAUUUAAUCAAAUUACCAAUCAAACCUCGAGAUUUGAUCACACAAGAGUCUAAGUCCCUAGAUGAACAAACAUUUAACUAAAAGCCCAACCAUAUUAAGCCGUUAAAGAUGCAGCUUAUGUCAGCAAAAAUUUAAUAUGACAAUCCAAAAAUGUCUUUAGCAGGUCGAAAUGUCAUCACAAUCAUACUUGCCUAUGACUUGCAUUUUGUUAGAUCCGAUUUUUCAAAAAUUCAAUGAUUCAGAUUAUAUCAAAUCAGCUCAUCAAAUAAUAUGACACAAUCUAGAUCAUUAAAUUUAUGAAGAUCAGAUUUACUUAAAUUUUGACCUUUACUUAUUAGCAAAACAAAAAACAUAUCCUUAACACUAAAUUAGAGGGUUUAAAACAACUGAAAAAAAACAAAGAUUAUUAAUCACACAAGGGCCAAAGUAGAAUCUAGUGCAACCAUGCAAGUAACAUUUUUUUCCCCAAUGAUUCCACUUUGAUCUGGCUAAUUAGGUGUUCAAAAUAAAUGAACUCAAAAUUCAGAACCUCAAAACUAUUACGUAUUACAUUAGUAUUACUUUGCAAUGAGAAGUAUCCUAACACGCAUGAAUCCGUUCUCGCUGUUAUUCUUGGUCAACAUUUCACUUGCCACUUGACUGAAAGCCUUCGUCUUCCCUUUUAUUUUUCGAAAAAAAAAAAGCAUCUUUUUAAAUCAGUUCAUUUCCCUUGCUUGCUAAUUGUUCCAUGAUGCAUAUUACGUUCCUAUUUUUUUUUUUUUUUUUGGGCUUUUGGGCUAGUUUCCUUAUCUCGAUUUUGUGUCUAAAAAUUUCAAGAAUUGAUGGAUUCGAAAUCUGAUGGAAUUGUUUUAAGAUUUGGGACUUUGACUUUUGAUUUGUGAAUCCCUGAUAUUCUUUUUACUGAUUUGUUGCUUGAUUGUGUUUCACGCUUAAAGAGAAGCAUUUUGCAAUAAAAGUUGUGGCUUCUGGUCUUGAUUUGCGUGGUGGUGGAGAGGAGGAGCCGCCACGGAAUUAUGCUCGUUUGGGCAGCUCUACAGCGACUCUUGGCCGAAUCUAGACCAGAUUUGCGGUCUACGUGAAAAAUCGAGUUUAGUGUGCAAACUUUGCAAAAUUCAGUCGCUCUCCUGAGGUUGCAGACAUAGGUCGAGGAUGGUUGGCGGCGGAUCACAACAACUAGCUGCUGCUGCUGUCGCCUGCUGGCGUUGGUACCCAUGGCUGCCACCUACAAGCUUCUGAAAACAUUAGCAGGAAGGGAUGACAAAUAAAAUAAUAAAGAAAUUAAGAAAUAGUAAGGGAUAAUUUCAUAAGGGAUAAUUGCAGAAACCUCCCCUGACUUUUAUAGUAAUGGCAUUGACCUCCCCUAUCAAUUUUGAAAUAGCAUUGACCUCCCCUAUCAAAAGUUUGAGGUAAUUUAAUAGGCAAAAGUGGGUCAAUUUACUAAAGUACCCCUGACAUGAUUUAAUUUUACCAAAUGAAUGUGAUGAGUACUUUCAUCAAACCCAACAAAACAUUUGUUAAUAAAAAUUACACUAAAUUAACUAUUUCUGCAUAGUUUAACUAAUUAACUAAUUAACUAAAUAACUAAUAAUCUAAUUAAUUAAUAACUAAUUAUCUAAUUAACUAUUAACUAAUUAACUAAUUAUCUAAUUGUUAAUAGUUAUUAACUAAUCAAACUAUUUCUGCAUAGUUAAACUAAUUAAAUAUUAACUAAUUAUCUAAUUAACUAUUAACUAAUUAACUAAUUUCUAUUUAUCUAAUUAACUAAUUAAUUAAUUAUCUAAUUAACUAAAGCUGUUAUCUGUCCGAAACUAACAAACUAUUUGCAUGUUAACCUACUUAACUAAUUAACUGCUUAACUAAUUAACUACCUAAUUAUCUAAUUAAUUAAUUAACUAAUUAACUAAUUUUUGUUUAUCUAAUUAACUAAUUAUCUAAAGUAAGAAUAUUGAUAUUACUGUAACACUUUUUGAAUUUUACUUACAAACAUUGAUGUUUUUAUCAUAAAUUAAAUGUUUGAAAGUAAAAUACCCAUAAAGAACCGAUACUUUAAAUAGAUAAUGCGUACUGCAUAUAGUUUAACAUGCAAAUAGUUUUUUAAUUAGUUAGUUAGUUAAUUAGUUAAUUAGUUUAACAUGCAAAUAGUUUGUUAGUUUCGGAUAGUCAACAACUUUAGUUAAUUAGUUAAUUAGAUAAAUAGAAAUUAGUUAAUUACUUAAUUAAUUAAUUAGAUAAUUAGUUAGUUAAUUAGUUAAGCAGUUAAUUAGUUAAUUAGUUUAACAUGCAAAUAGUUUGUUAGUUUCAGAUAGACAACAGCUUUAGUUAAUUAGUUAAUUAGUUAAUUAGUUUAACAUGCAAAUAGUUUGUUAGUUUUGGAUAGACAACAACUUCAGUUAAUUAGAUAAACAAAAAUUAGUUAAUUAGAUAAUUAGGUAGUUAAUUAGUUAAGCAGUUAAUUAGUUUACCAUGCAAAUAAUUUGUUAGUUUCGGACAGACAAUAGCUUUAGUUAAUUAGUUAAUUAAAUAAUUAUUUAAUUAGUUAAUUAAUUAAUUAGAUAAUUAGUUAAUUAGUUAAUAGUUAAUUAGAUAAUUAGUUAAUAAUUAAUUAGUUUAACUAUUAACUAAUUAGAUAAUUAGUUAAGCAAUUGUCAAGCAAAUAAUAAUUGUCAAGCAAGUAAGGGCAAAAUUGGAAGAAAAUUCUUAUCUCACUUCUACAAAAGCUGUCAGGGAGGUCUCUGCAACAAAUUGUUACUGUUCAGGGGAGGUGAAUGCAAUUUUUAAACCUAGAGGGGAGGUCAGUGCAAAUGUCAGAAAUUUCAGGGGAGAUUUCUGCAAUUAUCCCAUUUCAUAAACCUCCCUUGGGGGUUUCCGACAAUUUCACUCAGCUCCCCCCAAUUUUAGAAAAUUACAUCGACCUCCCUUGUUUUUACUAUUUAAGGGUCUGUUUGAUAAUAUAAAAAAAGUGCUGAAUCUGAAUUUUUUCAGACAUUCAGAUGUUUUGACUGUUUGAUAAAUGAAAAUUCAUUUGCUGAAUUUACUAAGUAGUGCUGAACUUGUGUGUAUUUUUUUCAGCACAAGAAUCCUAACUGAAUGCUUAAUUCUAAUAAGAAUCAAUAAAAUUAUUUCAAUUACCUUAUCUUAUCUAGCAAAUCUACCCUUGUUUGUUAAUUAUGUUCAAAAUUUUUGUUUAAUUAAACAACCUAAUAUUUUCUAUCUAAUGAUUUUCUAUUUCUUUUUUCUCCCUUUUGAAUGACUUUCACAUCUUUUGCAUACUUCUCAUAUAAUAUAUUUCAUCUUUUAUAUUAAUUUGAUUUAAAAAUAAAUAUUGUCAUUUUCAUACCUAACAUUUUUAACUAAUUAAAUCAUAGGUUCUAUUUCUUUUUUGGAUGAAAAGAUAUAAGGGCAAAAUUGUCAAAUUUAACUUAUUAAGUAUUUAGUUAUAAAUAUUUAUCAAACAGUAUAAAUAGGCUUAACAUUAAAAUUCAGACAUUCAUACAUUUCUUUUUAGUGCUUAAAAUUCAGCAAAUUAAUUGUUUCAAUAUUCAGAUUUUAAAAUUUAGACUUCAGAAUUUAGAUUUAGUUUUAUCAAACGGAACCUAAGUAAUAUUAUAGACCCAUUAGGCUAGAAUUAUACUUAAAUAUCCUAAAAUACCCUUAUGCAAUAUCAUAACAUCAAAAGAAAGUGGAAAAAAGGUUUAGUGAUGAAUUUAAUAAAAAAAAAAGUAACAAACACUUUUAUCCAAGUUUAUUAUGCUUCCACGAUAAUUGUAAACCCAAAACCUUAUCAACCUUUCAAGCAAAUUCCAAUUUAAUUUCCAAAUUCCAUUAAUUUUGGUAUCACUAAAAUCCCAAAUUUUACCAAAAUUGCACUUCAAUUUAAUCCCUAAAUUCUAUCAAUUUCGGCAUUAUCAAAAUCCCAAACUCUACUCACAUCACUUUAAAAAUAGACCAUAACUGCCAUCACCAACUAAAAUACCCUCAAAAGCUUCCCACCCCAAAUUAACACUAUAUUUGUCUAUUGACUAAUCUCACACCUCAAAUUAUGAAUCCAACACCUAGUGCAUAUCAUCUUCCUUGAACAGAAGACCUGGCCAACCACUAUUGAUGUCUAUGCCAAGAGCAACCCCAUACUCCAAUAGCAUUAGGAACAAAGAAACUAAUCUUUAUGACAAACAACCACUAAUACUUGUAAAUCAAACAAAAAUAAAACUAAAUGAAGACAUUAGAUUCUAGUGCGUAAUUGACAUGAUAGCAUAACCCAGAGUUAUCCCUUUUUCUCUUCCAACUAUAGCCCAUUAAUUUCAUUUUUUUUCCUCUCUAUCACAACCAUCUUCAUCAUCUCCAUCCAAUUUGGCCAUGAAAUUUUCAUUUGCUCCUUCAAUUUGUAAUUUUGGAAAUUUUAAUUCUUUAAUAUAUGCAAAUUAUAAUACGAGAAGAAAUAAGCGAGGGGGUUGAUAGUCAAGUAACACGGAAAGAGAGAAAUAGACAAGAAAUAAACAUUUCGGGUAGGUUUGCAUGGUGGUGUAAUUGAUGGGUGGAAGAAACUGUGAGGUUAUAGGUAGGAAGGAGAGAAUUAUAAGAGGUAGAAAAAAAAAGGGAGGGAAAGAGAAAAAAAAAUUUGCUGUUAAUUAAAGUAGAGUUGGGAAUGAUGGCGAGUUGUUGUAGGUUUUUAUGGGCCUGUUUGGAACCUUGAUUUUUUGUCAAGUUUGUAUGAUACUAGUUUUUUAACAACUUUUACUACAAGAACUCCAAAAACUUAUCAAAAUUUUUAAUCUACACACUUUAAAAUAUCCAAAACACAAAAAAUCCAAAAUUUCCUUUCUCUUUUCUUCUUCUUCCUCCCCCACCCCAACUGCCCACCACCUCCGCUGCUGGUUCUGGCACCGAUCACCUCUUCCGGUGCCGAUCAUUUUUUUUCCCUUUCUCCCUCUCCCCCUCUUCCUCCCCUUUUGCCCGGUUCUGAUCCUUUCUCUUUUUUUUUUCUCCUCUUCCUCUCCUCCACUCCUUCCCUACCACCCUUCCCUUUCCCCUAUGGCCGGUCGCCAGACCAAAUCGUACAGAGGAGGGGUGGGGGUGGCGGGGGAAGAGGAGUAGAGGGGAGAAGAAAAAUUGCAAAAAAAAAAAAAAAAAUUCCGCGGCCGGCAGAUUGAGCAGAGACGGGAGAGGGGAAGGGGGAUGGGGAGAGAGGAGGAGAGGGGUGGUGGGGGAAGGGGAAGAGGGGUGGCGAGGGAAGGAAGGGGAAGGGGAGAGGGGGUGCCCUUCCCCUCUGGCCGGUUGCCAGACCAGAUCGCAUCGAGGGAGGGUGAGGGUGGCGGGGAAAGGAGAGUAGAGGGAGAAGGAAAAAUUACAAAAAAAAAAAAAAAAAAUUCCGCGCCUUCAGAUGAGCAAAGGCGGGCGAGGAAGGGGGAUGGGAGAGAGGAGGAGAGGGUGGCGGGGAGGGAAGAGGGGUGCAGAGGAGUCAGAGGGUGGCGAGGGAGAAGGGAGAAAUGGGUGCAGGGGGCAGAGGGGUGCUGGGGAGAGGGGAGAAGAGGGGUGUGGAGGAGGGGGGUGUGGGGUGGGGAGGAGGAAGGAAGGAAGGGGAAGGGGAGAGGGAGAAAGAGGGGGGGGGGGAGGAGAGAAAAGGGCGGGCAUGAGAGGGGGGAGAAAAAAAGCAAAAAAAAAAAAAAUUGCAGUAAAACCCAAUACUGCAUUGGCAGUGAUCUGAAGAGGGAACGGGGACGGGGAAAGGGAAGGGAGAAGAAGCAGGAAGGGAGGAAGGAAAAGAAAAAAGAAAAAAGAAAAAGAAAGAAAGAAAAAGAAAAGGAAAAAAAGUUUUUCAUCACACAAAAAGUUUUUCUACAACUUCUAAAAAAUUUUUUUUCAUCUUACAAAGUUUUUCUACAAUUUCUACAGUGAUCUACAGUAAAAUUUUAUACAAACACCCAAAAAACCCACCUUUCAAACAGGCCCUAUGUUUUCUUUUACUUUUGGUUUGGUUUUUGUAUCCUACAUAUGUGGUAAACUAUCUAUUUUUUUAUGUGGUAAAUUAUCUAUUAAGUAGAGGGUAUUGUAGUCAUUUUAUUGAAUCGAGAGAUAUUAGUGUAAUUUUCUAAAAUUGAGGGGAACUAAGUGAACUUGUCAGAAUCCUCCUCAAGGGAGGUUUCUGAAAUUAUCCCAAAUAGUAAAUGAGAAUUUAUUGAGAAAGUGCGACCUAGAAAGCUUAUGAAACAUUAGCAGGAAGGGAUGAAAAAUAAAAUAAUACUUAAAAGAAAUUAAGAAAUAGUAAAUGAGAAUUUAUUGAGAAAGUUGUUUUAACCUAUGGUCCUUUAGUCUUUUCACUAUUUCCGUCCCAGGUACUUUAACAGAAGUUAGUUAUAGAUUGGGGGAUAGGUGUUAUUUGGCCAGAACUUGGGGUUCAUUUGGUAGUUUAGUCAAAUCUUAAGGAACGUAAAUGUAAUUAACCUUUUUUUUUUUUUUAACAUGCACCACAUGGCAAUUACGAAGUAUAUUUCAACUUUAAUCAUAUUAUCUAUGCUGCACACUUGUACUGGGUCUUCCUUCAUGUGUUUACAGAUUUUUGGACUCUUGAAAUUAGAAUGGGUCAAUGGCUUGUGCCCUUGAAACAAGAAGGGUCCAAAUGUUAUUCAUUUGUCAAAUGUUUGAAAAGAUUGCCAUGUUGAACUGAACCAAUCAUGAAAGCACUAAAUUCCUAUUUGAUUCAGUUACCGGGUUGACAAGACAAAUGAAGGAUUGCCAAGCAACAUACAAGAAAAACAAAGCUAACUCACUUUGUUAAAUUGGCCAUGGAGGGGCCUCAGAGUUAACCUGGGAGUGUUUAGUUAAGAGUGAUUUGUGAGUGCCAGGUCAUGUGAGUGCCAGGUCAGCGUGUGCAUGGCUUAUUAGAUUAAGGUAGUGAUUGUUUGCAAAGAUUAAUGGUGGGAAAGUGAAGGAAAGUUUGUUAACUUCUUUCUAUUACGUUGUGUUUGUUUAGAGAAAAGUUAGAAAAAUUUACUGCAUAUAUAUAUAUAUAUAUAUAUAUAUAUAUAUAUAUAUAUAUAUAUAUAUAUAUAUUAUGUUCAUUGCCCUGCAAAUUUGGUAUGCUUGUGGAGAAAAAUAGCUCGUUAGACAUAUUUUUUAAAAUGAUUAUCACUAACUUUUAAUGCUGUCUUGCAAAUUUUUUAGGAUUGUAAAGGAAGAUAGAUAAUUACGCACAUUUUUUAAAAAUAACUACCACUAAUUUUCAAUAACUUUGCACUUUCUCUAAAAUUUUUUCUUGCUAACCAAAUAUACAUGGGAAAUUGGUUCUUAUUUUCAUUUAUCUUACUUUUCCAUACAAUUUUCUCUCUAUUCAAACAAAGUCUGUUUUCUAGCUGUUAGGGGAAAACAAAAGAAAAACAAAACUUACCCGCACGCACACAAUAAAAAGAAGGAUGAAUUACCUUAUACCUAUCUGUGAUUUGGUGCUUUAUCAUAUAAUUUCCUAUAACUUAAAAUCUAUAUAUAACUCCCUCAUAAUAUAGAUUAAAGUGUCAUUGUUAGUUUUUCCGUUAAAACUAACAAUCAAUGAUAAAAAGUCAAAAUCAAAUUACUAAAUUGAGAAAUCAUUACUUUUUUUUUUUCUUUUUCCUUCUCUCUCUCUCUCUCUCUCUCUAAUUUUUUUUUCUUUGGAGAAAGGAAGAGAUGAUUUUGAAAACUUAUAUUUUAGCCUACACAAUCUUAAUUUUCUUCAAAUACAAAAGAGAUGGUAGGGAAAUAAAAAAGGACUAAUCUUUCAUAUACUGAUAUUGUAUACACUAAUAAGUGUGUUUAGAUAGAAUAUUAUUUGAAAUAAUUAUUGUAGCAUUUUUUAUAAUGUAAUGUAUAUAAGAUAAAAAUGUGGUUAGCAAUAUAAAAAGAUGGGUUGGAAAAUAUAUUUAUGAUAUAAGCAAAAUAUUUUUUGAAAAAAAUUGGCUAUCCAAACACUCUCACUGUCAAUUUUGGAUGAAUGACAACUAUGUAAAAUUUGAAUUUGAAACCUAAUUUUUGCACGUGUCAUGAUUCCAACGGUAAUAGUGUAUAUACUAUUAGCGUGUAUAAUAUUUACUUAAUAAAAAAUAAAUAAGAAACAAAAAAGAUGGAAGGCAAAUGUAAAAAAAUAAAUAAAUAACAAAAAACACCAAAUCUUUUUUGACUACAAAUAUCAUUAUUGGUUUUUAAACCAAAUCUUUAAUGGUAUUUUCUAGUUCUUAUUUAUCUGUGUUUAUAUUUCAAUUUCUUCUUUUUUAUGUUUGGAGGAAAAAAAAGAAGAAAUGAAAGCACAAAUUUGUUAAUUUAUUAGUUUGAUUUCGACUUUUUACUAUUGAUAAUUAGUUUUAACGAAAAAACUAAUGGUGACACAUUAACCCAAACCAUGAGAGAGUUAUAUAUAGAUUUUUAAAUCAUAAGGGGGUUAUGUGAUAAAAUACCAAAUUACAGGGAUAAAAGGUAAUGUACCCAUUAUAUAUAUAUAUAUAUAUAUAUAUAUAUAUUUAUAUCUAGUACCAAUUGGUGGCUCCGAGUUGGUCGGUCAAUUGCUGGUCUAGGGCCUCCAGGCUGCACAACCAAAUAGAGGGUCCAGAUUGAAUACACAUUAUUAACUGCUAGGGCUUGAUAACCAUUUCGACAUGAAAUCUUUUUGUUGCUUUUAUUUAUUUAUUUAUUAGUUAUGUAGUUAGGGAGACUAGAACCCCAACUUAGCACCCAAGGGGAACUUAAGUCCCUCCUUCUGGCAAACUCUCAAUCCUAAAUUCCUUUAACAAUUUGAAUUUUUCUAGUUUAGAAUAUGAAAAUUUCGAUAGGGUAUGGUUUGUCAUUAUGAAAACUCACAAUUAAAAUAAAGGUUUUUCUAAUGAGUACUCCUAAGGCACUCAUUAAAAUAUCUAAAUUACACUUAAUUUGUUACAUGAAUGUACACAUUCACAUUUAUUAUCUCCAUACAUUUAGAUAUUGUCUCAAAUUAGUUUAACUCUUGUAAAAAAAUUAAUAUUAUGCAAAAGUAUCUUAACGAGUUUUUGGGUUCGAACCCUUUUACUUAUACUAGAAAAAUAAAAAUAAAAUAAAAAGAGCUCCCUGGUGAUUAACGGGACACUAAUUAAACAAAACCUUAAAAGUUAUUAAGGAACCCAUGUUCAAUUUUUUGUUGUCUUUCCUUUUUAGUUCAAAAUUUUCAAACACCAAUACCUAAAAAUGAAAAUUUUUUCCUUUGAUCUAGGGGCACAUUUACAAACUAUGGGGUAAUUUUUUUUUUUUCAGAAUAUUGUACCUCGAACUGCUAUUUUGUUUCUAUUCCUUCUCUGUUGUAAAUGGGUAUGUAAUCGUGUUGGCAAUCAUGUUACCCAUUUUAAUCUGCAUUGCACAAUGAAUUUAGAUGUGGAGGUUGUGUCAGAAAAUUCUUCCCCCUCGUUGUUCGCUGCACAGUCUUAGUUAGCCAAUCCAUCCUAAAGAUUAUAUCUAUUGAUGAUAACAUUGUCAUCGUCAAAACGAAAAGGAAAUUCACACACUAAGCAAUGUUGCCAUAUGUAGGUAAAAAGAAUAAUUCAAAUUUAUUGAAAGAGAUAGAAUUUGUUUGAAGACAGAAAUUUGAAGUACAUUUGAUUGGAGCUUCGAGGAGAACUAAAAGAGAAAUAGAUAAAAUCCAAAUGUUUGUUAGCCCAUCAAUUCUCUUCAAUUAAACAUGCUACAACUACAAGAGAAGCAGUGAUUAAUUCGUAUCAUGCCCGUCGGGCACAAUCAGUUAUCCGUGGAUCACAUAGGGUGGUUUGCGGUCUGUCUUGGGCCAUCAUUGUGUUUAGCCCAAAUCAGGUGCAUGCAAAUUAGAAUUUUCUUAAAUAAAAAUACAAGGCACAAAUCAAAUUCCUGCAUCUAAAUUGGCAAGAUAUCCAGCUCUUGCCUUUAGAUGCUUUAUCCGACGAUGUUUAUGGCAGUUUCGGACUCCAAAUAGUGAAUUUACCAACUCUUUAUGAGGAGAACAUCAUAAAAGCAUUCCAUUUUGGUUGUCCUAAGCAUUCAACAUAUCACUACACCAUCAGAGUACUGAGGCCACAACCGAUGUGGUCUUGCAGCAUCCUAUGUAUAAGAACUGAAAAACAUUGUAGUAUCACCAGUAAAACCAUACUGAAACGCUAAUGUGUUACAUUCUUGGGAAGGUUGCGGAUGACGUUACUCUUCAUGCCAAUCUUGGAACGCAUAGCCUCCACGC
This 58058-nucleotide long non-coding RNA is filed under the name Coffea arabica (coffee). RNAcentral's name for it is "long non-coding RNA (CARA_LNC005958)". The record is from RNAcentral. Lineage: Eukaryota; Viridiplantae; Streptophyta; Magnoliopsida; Gentianales; Rubiaceae.